Molecule: long non-coding RNA, 75906 nt
Filed under: Olea europaea (common olive)
Lineage: Eukaryota; Viridiplantae; Streptophyta; Magnoliopsida; Lamiales; Oleaceae
Description: long non-coding RNA (OEUR_LNC009980)
Source: RNAcentral
UGCUUUGUAAAUUUAUUAUAUAUAAUUUAUAAUAUUUUAACAUAUGCAAACUCUCUCUCUCUCUCGGGAAAUAAGAAUGGCAACUUCACAUUCUCUUUCUUUUCUCCUCUUCUUUCACUUGGUCUUUUCUCUUGGUUUUACUUCCUUUGCGUCAACUCAAUACUCUCGAUCAUCCAUUGCUUCUGACCAGAUCAAGUUCUGGUCUGAAAAUGUGCACAACAAAAUGCCCGAUUCUGUCUUCAAAAAACUAUCCCCAUUAACAAAAAGGGAUUGUGAUUAUUACAAAAAGCUGAUAACCAAAAUAGAUUUCUCAGAAAAUCCUAGUUUUUGCUCACUUGCUAAACUCUCUUGUUCAUCCGGAUUACACGAUGGUGGGGGGCAAAGAGCUACCAAUACGUACAGUAAUAAUGGUGCAUUACCUGUCAACUCCAAUACGGCAGACAAAUUUUCUUACUUCAGAAUCUCAACCCUUACAGAAGGAAAUAAAUUCCAUCUCUCAGAUUUAGAAGAAAAAAUUCCAAAUCGAGCAUUUCUCCCUCAAGAAAUAGCAUCAAAAAUUUCUAUCAGCAGAAAAAGAAUUAGAAAACUAUUUCCCAAGUCCUUUGAACUGUCAAAACAUUCUAUGGAAACGACACUUUCUUAUUGCAAUGCAGAAGCUAUAAAGGGAGAAAUCAAGAAUUGCCCAAAAUCCCUUGAAGAAAUGAUUAGCUUCUCGAAGUUCGCCUAAGGCAAAAAGGAGUUACUCGUACUGGCUUCAGAACGCACAAGAAGAAGUGAAUUCCUGAUAAGAAAGAUCAAGAAAUUUGAUAGGCAGAAUGUAGUGGCCUGCCAUGAAGUUUAUCUUCCCUUUGCAGCCUAUUUAUGCCAUUCAACCUCUUCAACUCAAAUCUAUGCUGUAGACUUGAUUGAACCCGAGACUCGACUCCCAGUUAGCACUGUGAUUGCGAUAUGUCAUAUGGAUACCUCAGCUUGGCCUGCAAAUCACGUGGCAUUUAAAAUUCUGAAAUUCUCCCCUGGAGAAGGCGAGGCAUGUCACUGGAUGUCGAACAUUGAUCUUGCAUGGAUUGCGGUUGACUAGACGGUAUGAAAUUGGAAGGUGUGUACUUGAUCUACAGCGAUGAAGUAGACGUAAUUCUUGAGCAGUUGAGGAAACUCGGUCAACGUGGCUUGUAAAUUAAGAUUGUAUAGAAGCUUGAAUUCAGUAGGUUUGUGCAACAAAGUCAUCUUUCUUAUCAUCAGAUCCUAUAUUAAAUUGAUGGGCAGAGGUGAUCUAUAAGUGUACCUUUUUCAUUGCUAUUCUGAAAUGUUGAGGAAAUCUUGGUUCAAAUCCUAUAGGAUUGAAGUAUGUUCUCAAAUAUAAUUAUAUAUUUACCUUCAAAUAUUGAGAUGAAGAUGUUCCACCGUAGUCUGUGAAUUACAUUUAUCUCGGCAAUUAAAAGUAAUCUUUAGAAGUGAUUAAUAUGUGUUUCAUACUUGGCCUCUGUUUGGCUUAGAUUUUAAUUAGAUUUAAUUCCAAAUCAAAGUCAAAUAAUCAAUAUUAACUACAUCUUUCAUGGAUCCCACAACUUUUUAAUCACACAUUUCAAAAACUUCCAUCAAAAUCUACUAAAAAUCUAAUUUUAAUCCCCACCGAAUACCCUCUUGAUCAUAUUAGUUUAUUGAUUAUUUUAGGAGAAAAACGAUAUUGGACGAGGAUGGAUGAAAAGAAAUGAUAAUUUUUUAAAAAUGAAAAAGUUCGACAUAUGUAAGAAGUUGGGGACCAAGGAAUCAAGUUUGAAAGUUGAAAGGCUUCAAUUGCAAUAUAUGAGGAUUCAAUCUGAGCAAAACGAGGAAACGUGAACAAAUUUAAACAAGUGAUAGUAUAAUUUUCAGCAAUUUGGAAUAUCCUUAAUUGACUUAAAUUACGAUUCUCUAUCAACUUGGGACUCUAUUUUAGACCUAAAUUGACGUCUAAAAUAUGAAUAUUUCAUUCAAAAUUAAGGGUGGCUAGAUAUACAAUCUUGAGGCAAAAUAAUUACACAUUCAGAUUCAUCGAACCCUCGAGAUUUGCAUCUCAAUUUGGAGUUUGAGGAUUGAAGAACACAACUAGCCGAGAGAUAUAUCUACUUUGAAGAGAAAAUUGAUGAUACAAUAUUGGAAAUUGAGUGUCAAAGAACAACAAUUGUUAGGAUUCUUUUCUUUUUAUAUCGUAUCGGACUCCGUGAGUUUUUUAAUCCUUUAAUUUUUUUAUUCCACAAUUAUGAAUGGAUAAAUAAUUAGUUAUGAUGAAUGACGUAGCUUAGAUUUAAUAUUUAUUUAAUUCAAAAGAUUUCAUGUAACUUUGUCUUUAGCGUGGCACUUGCCUUUUCCCCAGCUGCCAUUAGGUUAUUAACUGUAUUCUAGAAUCUAGUAAGCUCGAUUUUAACAACAACUAACAUUUAGUUGCUCGAUCACAAAUUUAUUGGUUUAAGCACGAUACUGAGAACGAAAUGAAGUAUAUUUGUUUAAUUCGUGCAAUAUGUGACAUGUGUUUUUAUAAGAGAAUGAGAGGUAAUUAUAGCCUUUGCAAUCUUGAUUGAAUUCCUACAAAUUAAUGCCUUUACAUGUGUAUGAAUUUAUAUAGGGAUAUAUUAAAUUCGAGUAUGUGAAUAGGUCUAGUUUUACUCGAGAAAGACUAUUAGCUAAAAUUGGUUAAUUCCAUUAUUAAUACAUAUGAAAAAGGGGUUGAAUGAUGUUGGAUUGGACAAAUGUUAAUAGCCUAAGUGAAAUUGGUGUUCCUAACCACUUAAUCCUUAAAGUUCUCCACAAAUUAGUUUAGUUAGGUUAAAUUAGAAUAUUUUAGUAUAAAUUACUUAUAAAACAAAUACUUGAUUUGAAAAGUUUUUACAACACUAAUUUAGAUUGAAGCCAGAUUUAAGAUAAAAAUUGAUAGUAAGUAUUUAAUAUUUGUGAGUAUAAUACUUGUACUCAAAAUUCACUAUUAUUACUUGUAUUAGUUCAUACACUAGUGGAAUUACGCUAUCAGUCUGCAUUUGCUAUAACAAUGAGAACAAAAUUGAGUUGCUAUACGUAUUUCCUCUCCAUACUGAAUUACCAUAUGGCUAGUACCCUAAAGUUCCCUAAAAACCCACAGCCUUGAAAAAAAUACAUAACGAACAUAUGUAAAUAUGUGGACUCAAAGGUCAUAAGUUUUAGGCUUGUGUCGAACCUUGGCUAAAUGUAAGAGAGCUCCAUUGGUCUAACGGGCAGACCAAUUGUUGGGAAAACACCUCCCAAAGAUUGUCCAAGAUCAAACAAACUUACAAUGUGAAAAAAAAAUCCCAAACCACUUCAAAGAUAAGAAAUUGGGGAAGAAAUGAUUUUUCAAUAUAUAUGAAGAACAAUGGAUUGGAUUACUUGAACAAGCCUCAAGUUAAUCCCCAAGAAAGAAAAAUAGCUUUGAAUUUAUACCCAAGAAGAACAAUCUCUUACUUGUUAAAUUCUCUUCAAUCUUUUCUCUAUUUUUCUCUCUCAAAAUUGGAUGAUAAAUGAAGGGAAAAAUAGCAAUAUAUAUAGAACUAAAUCAGGCGCCAUGGCGCCUGCAUCACUGCUCCAUCCUUUCAAUUUGGGCGCCAUGGUGCCUGCCUCCCUGCACCUUUCUUUCUUACAAAUCUUCACCUCGUACAUCAUUUGAUAGACCUCAAAUUUUGGACGAAUACAAGAAGAAGUAGCAAGCGCCAAACUCGGCUGCACCAUUCAAACCAUGGUUGCCUACGUACCCAAAACUCGGGAUCAAGUCUCCGUAGUUCACCUCCACCUUCAUGUACUCUUCACCUCAUUUCAACCUCGCCCCAAAGAGCCAUUCCCACUCGGGCAUAUCAACACGGACUAAUGUGAAGCAAGUCCAAGCAAUACUGAAACUUGCUACCUGUUACCACUUUGGUUAACAUGUCUGCUGGGUUCUCAUUUGUGUGUACCUUCAAGAGAGAAAUAUCACGUUCCUCUAUGACAUCACGCACAAAAUGAUACCUGACGUCGAUAUGCUUGGUUCGAGCAUGAUGAACCUGAUUCUCAGCCAAGUGAGUCGCACUCUGGCUAUCACACCACAAGUCCACGUAAUCCUGCUCAAUCCCCAAAUCAUCUAGAAGACCCCACAACCACAAUGCUUCUUUCACUCCCUCUGCCAUGGUCAUAUACUCGGCCUCUGUAGUAGAAAGAGCCACUGUAGCCUGUAACAUCGAUCGCCAACUAACUGGGGCACCAUGUAUGCAAAACACAUAUCUAGUAGUAGAUCGUCGUCUAUCUAGAACACCUGCAUAAUCUGAGUCCACAAACCCACUUAUAUGACAUGCAUCUCCACCAAAACAUAAACCCGUAUUCGCGGUACCUUUUAAGUACCUCAGGAUCCACUUCACAGCUUCCCAGUGUGCCUUCCCCGGAUUCGCCAUGAAUCUAUUGACCACACUAACCGCCUGUGAAAUAUCUGAGCGUGUACACACCAUGGAAUACAUCAAACUGCCAACUGCACUAGCAUAAGGUAGACGAUCCAUGCGUACCUUUUCUUCCGCUGUAGUAGGAGAUUGUUUACCAGAGAGCCUGAUUUGUGGAGCCAAUGGAGUCACCACCGACUUUGCACCUUGCAACCCGAACCUAGCAAUAACCCGCUCAAUGUAGCCUUUCUGACUCAAGAACAUUCGCCGGUUCGUCCCCUCUCUUCUAAUCUCCAUACCCAGUAUUUUCCUAGUAGCUCCCAUAUCCUUCAUCUCAAACUUUUUAUCAAGUUGAGAUUUCAACCUAUCUAUCUCCACCUUGCUCUUCGAAGCGAUAAGCAUGUUAUCCACAUACAAAAGAAGAUAGAUAUAGUUACCUUCUCGAAGUUUUCUAAUAUAAACACAACAGUCAUAAUCACUUCUGGAGAAACCAUGCUUUAGCAUGAAGGAGUCAAAUCGCUUGUACCACUGCCAAGGAGAUUGCUUCAAUCCAUAUAGUGAUUUUCUCAAGCGACAUUCCUGAAGUUCCUUAUCCUCAACCUUAUAGCCCUCAGGUUGAUGCAUAUAUAUUUCCUCAUCCAAGUCCCCGUGCAAGAAGGCGGUUUUGACAUCAAGUUGUUCCAGCUCAAGAUCAUGAUGAGCAACAAUACUCAAUAGCACCCGAAUGGAAGUAUGCUCGACCACCGGAGAAAAGAUCUCAUUGUAGUCAACUCCCUCUCUUUGUGCAAAUCUCUUAGCCACUAACCUUGCUUUGAAUCUUGUACCACCGAGCUUGCUAAAAUCCUCUUUCUUUUUGUACAACCACUUGUAACCAAUAGCUUUCUUACCUAUGGGCAAUGGGACAACCUCCCAUGUUUGGUUCUUGUGAAGUGAUUCCAUCUCUUCUUCCAUCGCUGCCAACCAACUCUCACUAUUGUUGUUUAAAAUAGCUUCCUUGAAAGUGGCAGGCUCAUCAUUCUCCACCGAGAGUGUAUACUCAACCAAAUUUGUUUACCCAUAGUGCCUCACAAGCUCGUCUGACCCCAACUUUAAAACUUGCUUGUAAGUACGCCGUGGCCUAGAGAAAGCCAAGUUAUCUGCAAGCUGUUGUUGUUGCUAUGCCUGUACAUUCUCUUGUUGAACCGCCUCUUGUUCAAGCUCAUCACCACUCUCAUCUUGAGUGUCUGCAUGAUGCUUCUCUUGAACAUGACUAGAACCAGGUUGAUCUCUAGGUUCUAUUUCAACAACUUGAGACUUUGUAGUCUCAACAUCAUCAUCACCGGGCACUGUAGCUUUCAACGAAGCUAUCAUGGAGUUCUCAUCAAAAGUAAUAUCUCUGCUGAUUAUGAAUUUAGAAUCCUCUACACACCAUAGGCGAUAGCCUUUAACACCUGCCGCAUACCCCAAGAAUAUAGCCUUCUUGGCCUAGCAUCAAGCUUUCCCUUGUUGACGUGAUAGUAGGUUAUGCAUCCGAAUAUUCUGAGUUUCUCAUAAUCUGCAUAUUCUCCUGUCAAUACCCUGUAAGAUACAUCUCCAUCUAACCUUGAAUGUGGAGACCGGUUCACAAUGUAGCAAGCAUUUGCAACUGACUCUGCCCACCAUUCUCUGCCCAAACCAGCAUAGGAUCGCAUACACAUCGAUUUCUCUCGAAUUGUGCGAUUCAGUCUUUCUGUGACCCCAUUCUGUUGCGAUGUAUUCCUAACUGUCCAGUGUCUCGCAAUGCCUUCCUUAUCACAGAACUCCUUGAAAGCACCAUCUGUAUACUCAGUACCGUUAUCAGAUCGCAGUGUCUUCAAUUUCUUUCCUGUUCUGUUUUCAACCAUUGCUUUCCACUUCUUGAAAGUGUCGAAUACCUCAUUCUUAUGCUUCAAAAAAUAAAUCCAAGCAUAUCUAAAAUAAUCAUCAACAAAUGUGACAAAAUACCUGAAACCGCCUUUGGAAGUGACAGAAGCCGAACCCCAUACAUCCGUGUGCACAUAGUCUAGAAUACCUCUGCUUCUAUGUUUGCUUGGCUGAAACUGAACUCGGUGUGCUUUACCGUGCACGCAAUGCUCGCAAACAUCCAUGCAAGGCUUCUUCAAGUUCUUUAGCAAGCCUUUCUUGACUAGCAGAUCUAGCCCCUUUUCAGACAUAUGCCCAAGCCUCAUAUGCCAUAGCCGGGUGCACUCACAUGGGUCUCCACCACUUCCACUUGUUCCAACCGCUAAAUCUUCUGUAACUGUAGUACCCUGAAGAGCAUAGAGAUUGCCUUCACGAAUACCCUUCAUCACAAUCAAAGAACCACGAACAGCCUUCUUUACUCCAUUCCAUGUUACAAUCUUGCAACCACCGGAGUCUAAGGCACCAACAGAGAUAAGGUUCUUCCGCAAAUCAGGAACAUAUCUAACAUCCAUCAAUGUUCUAACCACUCCAUCAUACAUCUUGAUUCUUAUUGAACCGAGCCCUACCGUUUUACAGGAAUGGUUAUUACCCAUCAACACGGUUCCACCAUCAGUGCUUCUAUAGGUAGUAAACCACUUCCUAUUUGGACACAUAUGGUAAGAGCAUCCAGAAUCAAGAAUCCACUUACCGGAGAUUUCUCUAUCACAAGUGAUGGUGUAGCACUCAUCGCCUUUCCCUCCUUCCGGGGCAUAGCUAACCUCUUGCUUGACUUGCACCUUCCCGUUGUUGUUAUUCUUAUUGUUCUUCUUCCAACCCCUUUUGUUAGUACAAUUUGCCUUGAAAUGCCCAAGCUCGCCGCAUUUGAAACAAGGCCUUUCCGAAAGAGGUCUAGAACUCGAUCUAGAUUUUUCUCCCUUACCCUUUGGUCGCACAUUGCUUCUACCUCUUACAAAUAAUCCUUGAGCUUGCUCCUUGUUACCAAUGGUAGACAUGCCACUAGUUACAAUCUUUCGAAGAUCAUCCGCUAGAAGUGACGUUCUAGUGUCCUCCAUCACAAGUUUAUCACCUACAAGCAUCAAUGUUUGUACUAGGUUCUCGACUUUGGCAAUGAAAGAAGUAGUAGAAGAGCUUGAUCCUCAUCAUCUACUUUCACAUCAAUGUCCUUCAAGUCCGAUAUGCACCUAUCAAACUUGUUGACGUACUCCCGGAUUGGUGUACCUUCAUCCAUCUUGCAAGUAUACAAUUUGGACUUCAAAUAGAUCCAAUUAGUUAGAGUCUUCGUCAUGAAGUUCGUCUCCAACUUUGUCCACACCUCCGCCGCCGUUUCCUCACCAUCAACCAAGAAAGCAACAUCUCUUUCAAGGCAUAGAAUGAUAGACGCUCGUGCCUCAAGAUCUAGCUCUUUCCAAUCCUCGUCAGACAUAUCUAUAUGCUUCUUCUCCUUUCCCGCCAAUGCCUUGUACAACUUUUGAGAAAUUAACAAAUUUUUCAUUUGCAUUCUCCAAUAUGAGAAGUUAUUCUUCCCAUUGAAUUUCUCUAUCUCAUACUUCCCAAUCUUUACCGUUCUUCUAGUAGACAUGAUUUAUCUACUUGUUUAUCGGAAAUAAACCAACAAAGUACACUUGGAAAUUUUCACAAACACCUUGUGUGCACAACAAAGUUCAAGCCAACCACCAAAAAUCGGAGCUUAACCACCAUAAUUUAAGAAGAUGCUCUGAUACCAAAUUGUUGAGAAAACACCUCCCAAAGAUUGCCCAAGAUCAAACAAACUUGCAAUGUGAAAAAAAAUCCCAAACCACUUCAAAGAUAAGAAAUUGGAGAAGAAAUGAUUUUUCAAUAUAUAUGAAGAACAAUGGAUUGGAUUACUUGAACAAGCCUCAAGUUAAUCCCCAAGAAAGAAAAAUAGCUUUGAAUUUAUACCCAAGAAGAACAACCUUUUACUUGUUAAAUUCUCUCUAAGCUUUUCUCUAUUUUUCUCUCUCAAAACCGGAUGAUAAAUGAAGGGAAAAAAGCAAUAUAUAUAGAACUGAAUCGGGCACCAGUUUCGUGCAGAAACUUGGGCACCAUGGCGCCCGCAUCACUGCUCCAUCCUUUCAAUUUGGGCGCCAUAAGUGGGCGCCUGCCUCCCUGUACCUUUCUUUCUUACACCAAUGCAUUACUAGAGAAAGAGUCUAAGGGCUUCAAGCUGCUUAGUAAUAAAUACUUGUCCUUUCCCGUUAUGGCUUGAUGUCAAAAACUAUGCACAUAUAGUAACACUAUAAUAUGACUGUCCAAAAAUUCUUUAAUAUAGAAUUUAUGAUUAAAUCCAACGGACUUAGCCCUUGUUUGAGCCCAUCUUAUCAAAAAUUUAUUUUUUCAAAACUUAUUUUCAAUCACAAUUCUCCAAAAAAAUAAUGUUACAUGUAAAUUGAAAACUUUUUCUUAUUUUUUAACAACACAUUCUCCAAAAAACAUUAUUCCAAAAAUACUUUUUUUUCCCUUCCAAAUGGGGCUCUAACAAUGGCUUGAUAAAAAUUUGAAGUCAAUUUCUGUAUCUUUAGCUAAAAUUACAUUUUUCAAUAGUAAACUAAGAGUUUGUAUUAAUUUUCUUUGAAUUAGUGAUCACAUUUAAUAUACUACAAUCCUAUGAGAUCAUUCAACUUCAGACAUGCUAUCUUGAUGCCUAACGAGUAAAUACAAUUGUUGAAUGGAACAUGCAUUAGUAGACGUGUCAAAAUAAAAUGAUAUAACGCUAAAAAUAUUGAUGGCCGUCCAUGUUAGAAUUUGUAAACUUGUAUCAUAUUUGUUUUGGAAGUGUUGUACUGUGUCAAUAUCCUUGUUGCAUUCCAUCUUGCUGCAUAUUGAACAAGCGUGGCACUCUGUCCUCAGAUAAAGAGGUAUAACAAAAUAUCGAUCAAUAAUCUCGUUGAUUUCGUGAAAUUUUGAGAGAGAUCGAAAAAUAGUUUGAGCCGUUGACCCCCGGUCCACCUCUUAUUAGGGUAAAAGCCAUGAGGUAUAGACUUAUAUGGGGAGUACUAUAUAAGCACUUGAUAUGGGUACAAGUUCAUCAUCUAUUACGAAUUUUGAAGAUUGUUUAUGAUUUAUUAUGAGUUCAUUUUGCAUUUUAAUAGUGUUUUGGAUUAUGGUGAGGCUUACGAAUCCUCUCAUGAAAGAAAAAUGCUUAAGAAUCCAAUAACGCCUUUCUUAAAUAUCGAUUGUCCGAGCCCUUUUGGGGAAAUGGUUAGAAAAUAUGUCAAGAUAAUAUGGCUGAUUUUGUCUUGAAAGCUUGAUGAAAUAGAGAUGGGAACACUCUUGAUCAUGCUUUGGAAUGAUUGGCGAAACAGAAAUGAUAGUCUACGAAUGGGGUUGUUGGAAAAUAAUUAGUUGCAGUAACUUGUAGAAUAGUAAAAUGUAGAAAUAAAACUUAUCGACUGAUCGAGUUUCGUGACAGCACGAUGUUUUAAAGUGAAACUGUCCAUCAAUAACUGCUGGAACAUCUGUGGACCUAUGUAUUUGGGUAGAGUUUAGGCUGGAAAAAAUAAGUUUGGCUGGAGUAUAUUUUGUGGGUUGGGGGAUUGGGGUAGUUUAGUGGAUAAGGGGUUUGCUUGUUGAAUAGCACAUUCAAGGAUGGCAAUAGCAACAACGUAGAAUAAACCCUUUUUUUUUUUUUGGGUGUGAACAUUUCCCCAUGAAUAGUAACUUUUUUUUUCCAACCAAAAGAAAAUUGAAAAAUUGAAAAUUGCUGUUUUUACGCUAAAUCCUUUUCACUUCUACCGUUCCAACAAAUUUUGGGUAGAAGACAUGAAGAAGUUUUGGAUUGUGGAUUAAGCUAACCCAAGUUUUGGCUUUGAUAACAAUUUGAUGUAGCACCAAUAAAAAUACCCAAUGGAGAAUAAGAAAACCAAUCAGCAGGAAGAAGAAAUCAGAGGCAGAGAUGGCAAAAGAAGAAAUUAGUAGAAGGAGGAGAAUAAUGAAGAGAGGAAACUUUCAUCACAAGCCACCAAAUGAUUUUAUUCAAUCUCAAGUGUUUCAAUUUCAUGACAAACUAGAUUUAAAUAACAAAAAGAAAUCCUAAAGAGAAUGGGUUUGGGUCAAACCCUUAUACAAGCCCAAUUAUAUAAAUAAGAGUCCCAACAUAAAUAAAAGUCCAACUAGAAAACAAAUAAAAUGGAUGUCCUUAUCAGAAUGUCUUGAUUUGGUUAUAAGUUAGAUUCCUUUCUAUCGUUGAAAAAGUAGAUAUGUGUAUCUAUUUGACUUUCAUAUAUAUUGUCUAUGGAAGCUUUAAAUGCCUUGUUUCUCUUCUGGAUAUGAGUAAGACAAUAUAGAACUACAGUAAUCUUGAAGUAAUACUGUUAGUGGUAUGCAGUUCUAUUAGUAACUAUGAAUUGCAUUGAUUAUAUAACACUUACUAAAUGCCAAGUCUUUUAUGGUCAAGUUUAGAAUGUGAAUUGAAAAGGAUGAACAUGAUGAUUGAUAAAUUUUGUUACAUAUUCUUUGCUAUUUAAUUUUGAAAGAAUAAAUUUGCUGAAUAUUUUAGACCCACGUGCUGAAUUAAUUACAAUAACAAGCAAUCAGUCACUUAUGAAGUGUGUGUUUGAGCCACAUUAUUUUAAAAGAAUAAUUUUGGAAUGGUAAAUUGAUGGAGAACGCAUGAUUAAAAAAUGAGCAAAAGUUUUGGAUUUGUGUGUAAUGAUAUUUUAUUGAAGAAUGUGUGAUUGAAAUGAUAUCAAAUCACUGUUUAAGAAUGUAUUUUUUUAUAAAAAUGCGGCUCAAACAGGCCAUAAUUGUUUCUAGAUGAUUAAAAUAAUUAAUUUAAAUAAUUCUAUAUUUACACGAUCACAAUAGAUCAAAAGCAGCAAAUAAAUAUGAACAUCAUAUGAUCGCAGUGAAAAACUCCUUCAAUAGGAUUAGAAACUCUGGGUACAAUGGCUGUAAUAUCCACUAUAAACGACAUGACUUACAGUACGGUUCAAACUCGACUAAUUUUUAGUACUCUCUAGCCUUCUUUCUAUCACCAUAAUGGACCUCCUUGGGCUAGGUGCUAGAGCACCAGCUCUAGAACUCCUGGAAUCGUCUAUCUCUUAUGGAUGAUCAAGAACGACCUUGUUCUCCUCUUAUCAGAACCCUGGUCACUUUCGUAGAUCAUCAUAUCCCUAAUACAUGCUUCGGAAGUGGGUGGUUUGGUGUUUGAACAGCAGUCUUUUUGUGUUUUGAUCUGUGGCUGAGGCAAGAGAUAUUGGAAUAUGCCUAUGAUCUUCAAAGUACGUUCUCUUGACUUAAUUCAAUGCUCGACUUAUGUUUGAACAAUGUUUGGGAUAAACUAUAUGAACAAUGAUUUUGAGAUUAAAUCAAUAGAAUUAAUGGAAUGUGUUUAUGAUCUUCAACAAUGAGAUCUCGAAGAAAAAAUAAUGAUUCAACACAUCUUGGACAAAGUAGGGUAUGCAUAUUUAUAUUGGGCAGUUUUUGUGGUUGUAUAUAGGAUUGUUAAAAGUGUCUAAAAUUGCGACCUAGAGUUUCUUGAAAAAAUUAGGAUUUUGCUUAUGCUCGCCUGAUGUUGGGGAUUUCGCACCAGCGAAAGGUUGGCGUUAGGCUAGCAUCAUCAUCACUGUUUUGAGCGUUUGAGUAUGACUUGGCAUUGAGCUAACAUCAUUUUGAAAACUUUAAUUCUUUGUUACAUACUUGAGCCUAGGACUCCUAUUUGACCUAUACAACCAACCGUAUCUCUUUGACUUUAUUUGUAUCUCAAAUAACCUAGAUUUUGUCUAAGGAAUAGCCAAUUACAAUUAGGAGAAUUAAAUUUAUUCAAUCCCAUUGUGCCUAUCACACUAUAUACGUUGUUGUCAUAAAAUAUGAUGAACUUACUAAAGAACCUAAUCAGAGAACACCAGAAAUAGUGUCUCCAUAUUGUCUUAUGCUUGAUAGCGUGGACUAGGUACAGUGGAUAGAACAAAAAGAUGUCCCCAGUAAAGCACUAAAUCUUAGUGUUAGAGGCUAUCAAUGCUGUCAUCAUAUUGAAAUUCUUCAUUUUUGAAGCUUGGAGAAAUAGUUCCUCGGGCAAUAAAUUAAAGAUUAUUAUGCAAUUUCUCCAAUCAACCUUUAAAUGAGAAAGUAAAACCUCAAUUGUACAUUAUAAUUGUUGUUUGUGAAUGAAUGAAAUUAAAUCCUCAAUUGUACAUUAUAAUUGUUGUUCGUGAAUGAAUGAACCUGUUAAAAUAUUUGUUAAAUCAUCUAUCACAUGUCCAAUCUUAUCGAGUUAUACUUCAUGAAGUGAGGCACAUUUACUGAUAAUUUAGUUACAUUUGAAUUAUUUUCAUAAUUGGAGGCUAAUUGUGCCUAAAAUGAGAAUUAACCAACUAUGCGAACCAAUAAUGCUUUUUUCCUUAUCAGAAAAUGACUGCAAACCAAUAGAUGUAGAAGAAGGGUUUCAUAAAGCAUAAACAUCUAAAGGCUAUUAAUUUCUACACAAAUCAAUUAUGAAGCCAAUUUUCUAUUUUUUUUAAUGUAUUCUCUUCAUUAUUUGAGCAAGCCGACACUCUCUUUAGAGUAUAAUGUUAUUCAUAGUCGUUUACUGGAUGGUCAUCCAAAGGCAUCUUACAUAGUGAUUUAUGAUUUGAUGCAUUAAUGUGAUAGUUUUAUCUUACCUCAUAUAUCAAAUCACUAACCGUCAUAUGUACGCCAUGAAAGAUGACUACAACAGUGAGUGAUUACAAAUAACAUUAUUUCUGUCUUUAUGUCCAUACCCCGUCGGUCCCACAUUUUAACAUCGGCAUGACUAAAAAUUCAUAAUUAUAAUUCUAUCCCAGGUAUACUGAUAUUCCAAUGAAUAUUUCAUGUAAUGCUAUUUUUUUUUUCUGGCUACAUGUUGGAUUGGAUAAUCCCAAUUUGCAGAAUUUGAGCAUUUCUGUUCAAGAAUAUUCUUUAUUUAGAUGAUAUUUUGUCCCUCUGAUAAUUAGAUCAAAGUUUUUGGCCAACCAUUCAGAAGAUAGUGAAAAAAAAUACAGAGGAAGAUAUUUAAAGAAACCAAAUUAGAAAACUUGACUGGGGCGAGUGACACUAGGUCGCUCACCAAAAAAUAGAAGUUUGCAAGUUUAGCCUCAAAAAUUGAAUUAUCAAACCAUGUUGAAAAUUAUGAAUUGUUUGUCUUCUUGUUUCAAAGUAGAAAACCUUAUUUGUAGGGUUACAAAAAACUGUAAUAAAAAGACAAUUGUGUGAUUAUCACAAAGAAUAAUGUCUAUUAUUUUCAUAUCUUCGACAAAUACAUCUAGAUGGAAACUUUUUCCACGAUAAAGAACAAGGGGAGAGAGAGAGAGAAAAAAAAAAAGAUAAAUGGUACUCUAUAUCAAUAAAUAUUGUAAAUGCACCCAAUGAUUUCAGAAGCUUUGCGCUGCCAACGCUGACUAGAGUCUACCAAAAAGACACUUUGAUAUCUUGCUUUCCCGUUAAUUAUUAGAACAAAAGGAUGGCCCUCAUAAAGAAUAAAAAUCUUAGCGUGUUUGACAAUUAUUAAAAUUAAAAUCUUUUUUUUUUCUCAUAAUAAGAUAUUCUACGUGAAAACCUAAAAUUUCUUCGUAACUUAUAAUCACAUUUUCCAAAAAAAAUCACUAAUCCAAAAUUCAUUUUCCCCCAAAAAAAAAAAAAAUCAUUUUAAUGAUUGUCAAACAGGGUUUAGUGUUAGAGGCUCUGCGUAUUAAAAUUUUUCAUUUUUGAAGCUUGGAUAUAUAGUUCCUUAGGCAAUAAAUUGAUGAGUAACUAUGCAAUUUUUCCUAUUUCGUAGAAAAAUUAUAAAUUUAGUCCUCAAUUUGUUGCCUAAUUAGAAGUUGGUCAUCAACCUUAAAAAGAGGAAGUGAAUCCUCUACUUUAAACUAUAAUUGUUGUUAGUGAAUGAAGGAAUCUGUCAAAAUAUUUGAUAAAUCAUCAUGCAGCCUCCCAUGUAAAAUCUUACGACGAAGUUAGAUUUCAUAUCCCAACAUAGGUUGGAGGCAUAUUUUCAGGAUAAUUUAGUUGAGAUUUGAACUAUUUCCGCUCUUAGUCAGAAGCGAUUGAAUCUCCUUGUCCCAUCUCUUGGACCCUUACUAUUGGAACCAACAACGCACUUUCACUAUCAAGACAUGACUGCAUGCCAAUAGAGGUAGAAGAAGGGUUUCAUAAAGCAUAGAAAUCACAUGGUUAAGGGCUAUUAAUUUCCACACAAAUCAAUUAUGAAGCCACUUUGCUAUCUUUUUACUGUACUCUCUAAAUUAUUUGUUCAAGUUGGCAUUCACUUUAUGUCCGCUCAUGGCCGGUCCAAUAUUUUACCAUCAGCAUGACUAAAAAUUCAUAAUUACGACGUUUCUUGAAUUAUGUCCUAAGCAUACUAUUAUUCCAAUGAAUUUGGCAUGAUGUGAUGCUACCAUUUUCCUUUUUCUUUCUGGCUACAGUUUGGGUUGUAUGUUCCAAAUUUGAAGAAUUUGAGUUCCAGAAUUCUCUUUAUUUAUAUUGCAUUUCGUCCAUAAGAUAAUUAGAUCGAAGUUUUGGAUGAUGAGAUUUCAUUUAGAUUAACCUUCAUUUUUUAAAACUUAUUUUUCUUCAAACUCAUUUUCAAUCACACGUUUCGUGGGGCUCAUAACUUUUAUCAACUUUUUAACCAUGUUUUUCAUUAACUUUUAUCUAAAUGACUAAGUCUACUAAAAAUCUAAUUUUUAGUUUUAAACAAAACAAGGGCUUAGUAUGAUAUCAAGGAGUUGAAAGAUCUUGAAAUUGAGUGUUUUUGUAAACCAUUUGUGAAUAUUUUAACACCAAAUAUUUAACGACGUGGUAUAAUUACAAGAAAAUUCUUCCAUGGGCACAAGGAAUACCUACAUGCAAAAAGUCAAUUACCUUAAAUUUCACUUGCCAAGGUAAUAUUCAAUUGGAUCUAGAUGCAUAAAGUCAUUUAUGUUAAAUUUUACUUCUAAGGUAAGAGCACCUUCAACAAUUCUCAUUAUAUUAAAAAGCAUUUUGAGGUAGGGAGGGACUGCAUAUAACAUUAUUUUAUUAAAAAUAAAGAACAUUUCUUACAAGUCCAAUAUGCUAUUUAUAGUUCAUUAUUAUGAUUUUUUUGACAAACUAUCAUGGUUCACUGUUGUAUUAGAAUUUCAGAAGUGGACGAUGCUAUAAAGAAGCAAUAAAGUGGAUAUAAAAGUUCAUAUUAUUGUUUCUAUAAGGAUUAAGUACUUAAUCUAGUUCCAACUAAAUCUAACUUUUAUCGAAUAGAAAGACUUUCAAAUAGUUUUUUGUUAACAAAUAAAACAUAUAACUACUUUUAGCGAUGGCAAAAAAAUUCGCCCCGAAUGGGUUGGCGGGGUGGGGAUGUCCCACCCCGAAUCCACCCUGUGAAGGAAAAAAAUAAAAAUAAAAAUUUAAAAAUAAUUUAUUUCUAGACAAUUCACCCGUAAAAAACCUAUUUUGAAUUUGUAUUUUAUUCUCUAAUAAUAACAUAACUCGAAAUUAAAAAGAAAUAAAAAAAAUUCAACCAGGCAAAAAGUUUUCCCGUCUCCGCCCCUCUUAGACGGGGCGGGGUUUGGGCGAGAUGGGGCGGCGUCCCAAACCCGCCCCUGUUGCCAUCCCCAACUACUCUAGCUAAUCUAACAAAUUAAUUGGGAAGCUUUUGUGAUGCUUAAGUAAUAACGAACACUUGGAAUUCGAAUUUUCCUACAUUCAUCCAUUUAAAAAUCAAUGCAAGAUUUGGACAACACUUAUUUGUACUAAUCAAAGUUAAAACGUGUAAAUUAAAUUUGGCUUCUUCUUUGUAAGAUAUAUGUAAUUUCUGCCCCUAAGUUAUCAAAAGAUUGUAAAAAAUAAUCUCUAUGUAUUUUUUUAAAUAUGUGAAAUUAUUUUCCUUAAUAGUUGAUUAUGUGAUAAUUACGCAAGUUUCCAUUGAGAGUUAUUUGUAACCCUAUCUUCUACUUUGUAAUAGAAAUAUAAGUUUAUAACAAUUUAGCACCCGUUUGGCUCCCUUUAAAACUCUUCAAUUUAAUUAAAUUUUUUUUCUAUUUUCAACCACACAAUUUUCAAUAAAUUAAUAUUACACACAAAUCGAAACUUUUCAAUCUUUUACAAUCAUUCAUUUUUCAAAAAAACACUAUUCUCCCAUUAUAAAUUGAAAUAAUGGAGACCAAAUGAGGGCUUCUAAUAUUCUAACAUAUGCAAAAUUUCUCUCUCUAGAAAAAAGAAUGGCUACUUCACAUUCUCUCCCCUCUCUCCUCUUCUUUCACUUGGCCUUUUCGCUUAGUUUCACUUCCUUUGCGUCAACUCAAUACUCACCAUCAUCGAUUGCGUCUGACCAGAUCAAGUUCUGGUAUGAAAAUGUUCACAACCAAAUGCCAGAUUCUGUCUUUAAAAAACUAUCCCCGUUAACAAAAACGGAUCGUGAUUAUUACAAAAAUCUGAUAACCAAAAAAGAUUUCUCAGAAAAUCCUAGUUUUUGCUCACUUGCUAAACUCUCUUGUUCACCCGGAUUAAAGGAUGCUCGGCGAAAACCAACCAAUACGUACAGUAAUAAUGGUGCAUCACCUAUCAACUCCAAUGCGGCAGACAAAUUUUCUUACUUCAGGAUCUCAACCCUUACAGAAGGAAAUAAAUUCCAUCUCUCAGAUUUAGAAGAAAAAAUUCCAAAUCGAGCAUUUCUCCCUCAAGAAAUAGCAUCAAAAAUUUCUAUCAGCAGAAAAAGCAUUACAAAACUAUUUCCCAAGUCCUUUGAACUGUCAAAAAAUUCUAUGGAAAUGACACUUUCUUAUUGCAAUGCACAAGCUCUAAAGGGAGAAAUCAAGAAUUGCCCAAAAUCCCUUGAAGAAAUGAUUAGUUUCGCAAAGUUUGCCUUAGGCAAAAACAAGUUACUCGUGCUGGCUUCAGAACGCACAAGAAGAAGUGAAUUCCUGAUAAGAAAGAUCAAGAAAUUUGAUAGGCAGAAAGUAGUGGCCUGCCAUGAAGUUUAUCUUCCCUUUGCUGCCUAUUUCUGCCAUUCAACCUCUUCAACUCAAAUCUAUGCUGUAGACUUGAUUGAACCCGAGACUCGACUCCCAGUUAGCACUGUGAUUGCGAUAUGUCAUAUGGAUACCUCAGCUUGGCCUGCAAAUCAUGUGGCUUUUAAGAUUCUGAAAUUCUCCCCUGGAGAAGGCGAGGCAUGUCACUGGAUAUCGAACAUUGAUCUUGCAUGGAUUGCUGUUGACUAGACGGUAUGAAAUUGGAACGUGGCUUGUAAAUUAAGAUUGUAUAGGAGCUUGAAUUCAGUUGGUUUUUGCAAAAAAGACAUCUUUGUUAUCAUCAGAUUAUAUAAUAAAUUGAUGGGCAGAAGUGAUCUAUAAGUAUACCUUUUUCAUUGCUACUAUGCAAUGUUGAGAAAAUCAGAGUUCAAAUCCUAUAUAUUGAAGUAUGUUUUCAAAUAUAAUUAUAUAUUUACCUUCAAAUAUCGAGAUGAAGAUGCUCCACCUGCAGUAGUCUGUGAACUACACUUAUCUUGGUCACUAAAAGUAGUCUUCGGAAGUGAUUAUUAAAUGUUUCAUGCUUGAUCAUACUUGUUUAUUGAUUAUUUUAGGAGAAAAACGAUAUUGGACGAGAAUGGAUGAAAAGAAAUGAUAAUUUUUCAAAAUGAGUAAAGUUGGACAUAUUUUAGAAGUUGGGGGGACCAAGAAAUCAAGUUUGAAAGUUGAAAGACUUUAAUUGCACUAUAUAAGGAUUCAAUCUGAGCAAAGCGAGGAAACGUGGACCAGUUUAAACAGGUGAAAUAUAAUUUUCAGCAAUUUGGAAUAUCCUAAAUUGACUUAAAUUAUGAUUCUCGAUCAACUUGGGAGUCUAUUUUAGACUUUAAUUGAAGUCUAAAAUAUGAAUCUUUCAUUCAUAAUUAAAGGAGCCUAGAUAUACAAUUUUUAGGCAAAAUUAUUAUACAUUCAAAUACAUUGAACCCUCAAGAUUUGCAUCCCAAUUUGGGGUUUGAGGAUUGAAGAACACAGUUAGCUGAGAGAUAUAUCUGUUUUGAAGAGAAGAUUAAUGAUCCAUUAUUGGAAAUUGGAUGUCAAAGAAGAACAAUUGUUAGGAUUCUAUUCUUUAGUCAUCGUAUUUAAUUCGGUGAUUUUUUAAUCCUUUAAUGUUUUUUAUUCCACAAUUAUGAAUGGAUAAAUAAUUAGUUGUUACGAUGAACGAUGUAGCUUAGAUUUAAUAUUUAUUUAAUUCAAAAGAUUUCAUGUAACUUUGAUGUGUAAUUGCAUAUUGUGUUGAAUUAACAUUCACUUGCUUGAUCACCAAUUGACUGGUUUAAGGAUGAUAUUGAGAACUAAAUGAGAUAUAUUUGUAUAAUUCGUGCAAUAAGUGACAUGUUUUUAUAAGAGAGUGAGAGAUAAUUAUAGCCUUUGCAAUCUUGAUUUAACUCCUACAAAUUACUGCUUUUACAUAUGUAUGAAUUUAUAUAGAGAUAUAGUAAAUUCUAGUAUGUGAAUAUGUCUAGUUUUGCUCGAGAAAGACUAAUAGCUAAAAUUGGCUAAUUCCACUAUUAACACGUAUGAAAAAGAGGUUGAAUGAUGUUGGAUUGGAUGAAUGUUAAUAAAUGAAAUUAGAGUUCCUAACCACUCCUUAAAGUUCUCCACAAAUUAGAUUAGUUAGGUUAAAUUAGAUUAUUUAUUAUAAAUUAGUUAUAAAGCAAACAUUUCAUUUGAUAAGUUUUUACAACAUUAAUUUAGAUUGAAGUGAGACUUAAGAUAAAAAUUGAUGGUAAGUUUUUAGUUUUUGUGAGUACAAUACUAUGCACAGGGGUGGAGCCAAAAAAUUAUAUUGGAUGGUCUGAAAUUAAAAAAAAUUUAAAAAAUUGAAUGAGCUUACGCCACAAGAAAUUGAGUUUCGAAAACUAUUUUUGUGACAUUUACGAUAAAAAGUAUACGACACUCAAUGAAAUGAAAAAAGUUUAGACGUCUCACAUUAAAAUAUUCCAAUAACUUUUUUUUUUUUUUUUUUAACCAAAUAGAAAAUCGAUACUUAUCUUAAAAAAUAUAAACAAACCGAAUCAUGUUAGAAUUAAGCAAAAAUAUAUAUCCACCAAUGAGUACUUAAAAAAUUACUUAGUGAGUACUUUUCUAGUAACUUUGACAACUAGUCAUUCCAAAUAAGUGAAAGUUUUAACAAAUGUUCUUUUUGAAGUCGAUAUAAUUACUUUAUAAAUAAAUAAGUUUUAACAAAUAUUCUUUUUAUUAUCAAUAUCAAAUCUAUAGUAAGUUAUUUAUUUUGAUCAUAAUAUCUACUUUAUGGUCAAAACAAGUAUUUUUUUUCAUAAAUAUGAAAUAGUAAUGAAUACGUAAUUUAGAAAAAUAUGUAAUAUCUCUAACUAUUAAAAUAAAUAAUUUACUUUUAGAUCUAAUCAAUACAAAUUAUCUAUAAUAAAAUUUUCUUAAUAAUUAAAUUUUAGUCAAACAUGCAUUAAAUAGAAUAUCCAAUUUAACAAUAAAAUAUUCACAUUUCAUGAAUGUCUUGAAAAAAGUAAUUAAUAUUGCAAUGUUUUGAAUACAAUUUAAAUAAUUGAACAUUGGAAUUGGAUUGAGAUUUAAAUUGGAGAUAGGCUAAUGCUAAUAUAUGGGCCACAAUUCUACAAUUUUAUCUUAAAAAUGUAUAUGGGUUGGGGAACAUUGCUAGGCUACAGCCCAACAAUGCCCCCAUUAGCUCCGCCUCUGACUAAGCACAUAUAGGGGGUGUUUGAUAGAUAUUUUUAUAUAAAAAUACAUUUUAGAAUAGUAAAUUGAUGUGAAAUGUGUGGUUGAGAAAUAAGGAAAUUUUUUUAUUUACAUGUAAUAUUAUUUUAAUAAAAAAUGUGUGAUUGAAAAAAGAAGAGAGAGAAAAAUAUAUUUUAAAAAAAUACUAUCAAACGGGGCCAUAGUAACACUAUAAUAUAACUGUCCAAACGUUCUAAUGGACUUAGCCCUUCUUUGAGCCCCAUUUUUUUAAAAAUUUAUUUUCAACCAUACAUUCUUCAAUAAAAUAAUGUUACACAUAAAUUGAGAACUUUUCUUAUUUUUUAACCACAUGUUUUCUAAAAAAUACUAUUCUAAAAUACAUUUUUUUCCUUCAUAAUGCAGCUCAAAGAAGAGCUUGUAUUCAUUUUCUUUUUCUUUCCAAAAAUUAGUGACACGUUUAAUGUACUACAAUCCUCUGAGACCAUUCAACUUCAGAGAUGCCUAACGAGUAAAUCCUAUUGUUGAAUGGAACACGCAUUAGUAGAUAUGUCAAAAUGAAAUGAUAUGACGCUAAAGAUAUUGAUGGCCGUCCAUGUUAAAAUUUGUAAAGGUGUAUCAUAUUUGUUUUGGAAGUGUUGUACUCUGUCAAUAGCCUAGUUGCAUUCCAGCUUGCUGCAAAUUAAACAAGUGUGGUGCUGUGUCCUCGGAUAAAGAGAUAUAACACAAUAUCGACCAAUAAUCUCGUUGAUUUCGUGGAAUUUUGAUAGAGAUCGAAAAAUAGUUUGAGCUUAUGACCCGUCCGCCUCUUAUUAGGGUAAAAAUCAUGAGGCAUAGGCUUAUAUAGGGAGUACCAGACUUGGGUACAAGUACAUCCUUCGUUAUGAAUUUUGAAGAUUGUUUAUGAUUUAUUAUGAGUUCAUUUUGCAUUUUAGUAGUGCUUUGGUUUAUGGUGAGGCUUACGCCUCCUCUCAUGAAAGAAAAAUGGUUAAGAAUCCAAUAACACCUUUUUUUAAACAUUGAUUAUCCAAGCUUGGUACAACAGCUAGGGCUAGGCCCAUAAACCAAAAACCUCAAACCCAACCCAACCCGACCUCAAGUUAGGUCGGUUUGGAAUAAAAACGGUUCGAUUUGGGUUCCAAACCAUUAUAAAUUUUUUUGGGUCAGGCCGGUUGGGUUUAAACCCAUUUAAGACGGCCCAACCCGAUAUCAAAUGUAAAACCCUCCCUCUUCCUCUCAUUCGCAUUAACCUAAUAUCAAAUGUAAAAACCUUGUCCUAUUCUUCUCCCAAUAUUCUAGCAAAAAUAUUGAAUUUGUGUAUGUUUUUGUAUUUAUGAAAGCUUUUUUACAGAUGAAAGUCUCUAUUUAUAGUCCCAAGAUUAGGGUAAAAUUCAUGUCCCAUCCUCAUUCCAUAUCGAAGUCUAAUUGUAUUUGGAAAGAAACUUAGGGUUGCCUUGUGUAACCUUACGAUCACAUGGUUCAAAGAGUUGUGAUCAGAUAGUUCAACGUCAAAACAUGUUGGUUUCUGUUUGUCUCUAGUUGUUGUAGCUAGGUUUAUCUUUCAAAUAUUUACACUUUAGUCCUCACCAUCCACAAUAACUCAAAAUUGGUCCUCUACAACUUUCUAAAAUUGUGGAUAUAAGUCCUUAAACUUUUCAAAUGUUGAAUUUUACUCCCCAAACUCUUGAGUUUAAUUUCUCUGAUUACUCUCUUCAUACUUCUUAGCAAUCAUGUACAAUUUGGUUAGCAUUCAAUUUCCAUUAAUUUACUUCAAUUAAGCUCAAAAUCAUCCUUUCUCGCUCCAAAUGCAUUCAAGUACAGUUUUUUUUCCCCAACAAUUAACAUAAUUAUGAAAGUAGAUAUAUUUGUAUACUCAAUUAGCAAUAAUUUAUGAGUUUAAAAGUGCAGACCUAGAUACAUGGAACAUGUUAACACUACAUCAAGAUUCAAAAAGUUAUGGCUGCAAGUUGAUGGAACCCAGAUAAAGUAACCAGCUGAAAAUAAAUGCCAUACUAACUAGAACCCCACCACAAAGAUCCUCAAAUGUCUUGAUUUGGUUAUAAAUUAGAUCACUUUUUAUAGGCAAAAAAAGUAGUUAUGUGUUAUCUAUUUCAAAUUUCAACUUUCAUAUACGUUGUCUAUGGAAACUUUAAAUCUAGAUUUUUAUUAAAGUCGAAGUCAACAAUUAAUUUUAACUACGUAUUUCAUAGGAUCCAAAAUUUUUCAAACACACAUUUUAUCAAUUUUAUUAAAAUCUGCUAAAAGUUUAAUUUUAUGGGCAUGUUUAGAAUGUGAAUUGAAAUUGAUGACCACGGCGAUUGAUAAAUUUUGUUACAUAUGUAAUUUUCCCAAUUCCGUUCUGUCUAUCAUACUAAAUAUGUUAUCGUCAUAAAAUAUGAUGAACCACUGUAAAGAUCCUAAUCAGAACACACCAGAAUAGUGUCUUCAGGUUGUGUUAUGCAUGAUGCAUGGACUGGAUACAGCAGACAGAACAAAAGGAUGUCCCUCAUAAGCAUAAAAAAUCUGUGUUGGAUCUGUUAAUACUGUCUUCAUAUCAAAAUUCUUCAUUUUCGAAGUUUGGAGAAAUAGUUCCUUGGGCAAUAAAUUAAAGAUUCAUUAUGCAAUUUUUCCUUUAGUAUAUUUUCUUACUAGAAAAAUUAUACCAUUACUCCUCGAUUUAUUGCCUGAUUAAGAAGUUGGUCAUCAACUUUUAAAAGAGAGAGAAUUCUCGAUUUCUCAUUAUAAUUGUUCUUAUUGAACAAAGGAAUCUGUCAGAAUAUAUAUUAAAUCGUCACUUAGUCUCAUAUGUCCAACCUUGUGAAUUUAGAUUUCGUAUCCCAACCUGUACGAUGGCUUGAAAUUUGAAGUGAGGCAUAUUUUCGUGACGAUUUAGUUGAGAUUUGGACUAUUUCCAUGAUUGAAGGCUGAUUAUGCCUCAAAGGAAAGGCUGUGGAUCAACAUGCUCUUUAACUUACCAUUCAAAUCAACAAUGCAUUUUCCCUAUCAGGACAUGACUGCAUACCAUUUUAGGUAGAAGAAAAGUCUCGUAAAGCCAAUUUGCUAUCUUUUUACUGUAUUCUCCAAAUUAUUUGAUCAAGUUUGGUUCUCACUUUAUAUCCACGGACUUUAUAUCCAUCCGUGGUCGGUCCCAUAUUUUAACGUCGGCUUGACUAAAAAUUCAUAAUUAUGACGUUCUUUGAAUGCUAUCCCACAUAUACUGAUAUUCCAAUGAAUAUUUCAUGUGAUGCUACAUUAUUUUUUCCCCCUUCUGGCUACAUUUUGGAUUGGAUUAUCCUAAUUCGUUUGAAGAAUUUGAGCAUUUUUGCUCAAGAAUUUUCUUUAUUUAGAUGAUAUUUUGUCCCUCUGAUAGUUAGAUCAAAGUUUUUGGCCAACCAAAUUCAGAAGAUAGAAUAAAAAUAGAGAGGAAGAUAUCUAAAGAAACAAAAUAAGAAAAUCUGGCUGGCAUUACGUCGCUCGCCGGAUAAUAGAAGUUAACAAGUUUAGCCUCAAAAAAUUGAAAUAAACCCGCUCUCGUACCACGUUGAAAAUUAUGAAUUGUUUUUCUUCUUAUUUCAAAGUAGAAAAUCCUACUUGUAGGGUUAAAAAUAACCAUAAUAGAAAAGAUUGUAUCAUGUUCACAAAAUCAAUAAUUAAGGCGGACAAUCCCACACACAACUGGAAAAAUAUUAUGAAGAAUAAUGUCAAUUGUUUUCCAUAACUUCAACAAAUAUGUCUAGAUGGAAACAUUUUCCACAAUAAAGAAAAAGAGGAAACAAGGGCAUUGUUUUACUUGUACACACAACGACAAAUGAAAGCAUAAAGCACGAAACACUAAAAACGAACACAGGCACAUGGUACUCAACCUUUAAAAGAGCACGUGAAUCCUCAACUUUAAAUUAUAAUUGUUAUUAGUGGACAAAGGAAUCUGUCAAAAUAUUUGUUAAAUCAUCAUGCUGUCUCACAUGUUUAAUCUUACGAAGUUAGAUAUCAUAUCCCAACCUAGGCUGAUGCUUAAAAUUUUGAAAUGAGGUAUAUUUUCGGGAUAAUUUAGUUGAGAUUUGAACUAUUUCCAUAAUUGAAGGCUGGUUGUGCCUAAAAUGAAAGGUCGUGGAUCAACGUGAUCUUUAAAAGGUUGAAGAUUAACUUAGUAUGGGAAUCAGCAAUACACGACUUUAUACCAUUAGAGGUAGAAGAAGGGGUCUCAUGAAGCAUAAAAAUCAAAUGCUAAAGGUUAUUAAUUUCCACACAAGUCAAUUAUGAAGACAGUUCGUUAUCUUUUUACUGUAUUCUAUAAAUGCCCAUUCUAUGUCCAUUCAUGGUGGGUCCCAUAUUUUAACAUCAGUUAUGACUAAAAAUUCAUAAUUACGACGUUUCUUGAAUUCUGUCCCAUGCAUACCAUUAUUCCAAUGAAUUUGGCAUGUGGUGCUACAUUUUUAUUUUUUUCUUUUUGGCAACAUUUUUGAGUUGGAUAAUCUAAAAUUGAAGAAUUUGAGCACUUAUGUUCAAGAAUUCUCUUUAUUUAUAUUGCACUUUGUCCAUCUGAUAAUUAGAUUAAAGUUUUGGAGAUAAUAUUUCAUUUAGCCCAGUUUGGUCCCCCAUUUUCUUAAACUUAUUUUUCUUCAAACUCAUGAUUUUCAACGACAUGUUUCUUGUGGCUCAUAACUUUUGUUAACUUUUCAACCACUAUUUCCAUUAACUUUUAUGUAAAUCUACUAAAAAUUUGAUUUCUAACUUUAAACAAAACAGUGGCUUAGUAUGAUAUCAAAGAAUUGGAAGAUCUUGAAUUUGAGUCUUUUGUAAAUCAUUUGUAAAUAUUUUAACACCAAAUAUUUAACCACGGGGUAUAAUUACAAGAAAAUUCAUCCAUGGGCACAUAUAAUAUAUCAAAUUUAAUUGGACCUACAUGCAAAAAAGUUGUUUAUCUCAAAUUCCACUUGCUAAGGUAAUAUUUAAUUGGACCCGCAUGCAAAAAGUCAUUUAUCAUAAAUUUUACUUCUAGGAUAAGAGCAUUUUCAACAAUUCUCAUUAUUUGAAAACCAUUUUGAAGUAUAAUUACAAAUAAAGUCCUUUUUUUUUUUACGAGUCCAAUAUGCUAUGUAUAUUUCAUCUUUAAUUUGAUUUUUUCAACAAACUAUUAUGGCUUACUGUUGCGUUAAAAGUUUGCAAGUGGGGGAUCUUAUAAACAAGUAAUAGAAUGAACAGAAGAAUUCGGGUUAUCGUUCCUACGAGGACUAUGUAUUUAAUCUAAUUUCAAUUAAAUUUAGAUUUAAUUGAAUAGCAAGACUUAAUUUGAAAGAGUUCUAUGUUAACAAUUAAACUCAUAACCACUUGAACUAAUCUAACUAAUUAUUCGGGAAAUGUUUAUGAUACUUAUGUAAUGACAAACACUUGGACUUUCAACUUCCCUACAUUUAAUCCAUUUUAAAGUCAUUCUGAGAUUUAGACAACACUUGUUCGGAUAUAAAGAUCAAUUUCCCUAAUUUGUUAAAUAAUCUCUCAAGUUGAAUUAAAUUUAUCCUCAUAUAUGACUCUCAUAUAUCUCUAUGAAUAAUACAAACAUGUUACAAUUUUGUAAAUCAUAAGAAUAUUUAUAACAUCAUGCAAAGCAUAUCGAUAUAUCUCUAUCCACUAUUGGACUUUACAAUAAUUUUUACUACGUUCUAUAAUUCCUAUUCUUUGCAUCUCUUCAAUGACCCCUUGAUCCAUUGCCUUUGAUUCUUCUUCUUUUUUCUUUUUUUUCCCUACAAUCCAAGCAAUUGAGUAUGAAAAUUGUGUGGAUAGGUGUAAUUUGUAUCGAAAUUUCUAUGAAGUUUGAAAGAAAUAUGGAUUAGUAGAUCAAAAGCUUCCUCAUUAGGAUUCCUCUUUUUAGGAUUUUUGUAAUUUCCCCCCCCCCCCCCAGUAGCCUCAUUUGAUUGUUGGAUGAAGGUUUAUAUAAUUAUAGACCGAAGAAUUACAUAAAAAAUCGUACUAUAAUUGCUUUUCAAAUAGACGUUGAUUUGAACAAAGAAAUCGUUUGCAAAUGUACCGUGGUGUGAUUGUGGAUGCUAAAUGUUUUGCUCGCUGCUCAAAAUUCUUUCUAUGUUGCAAUUGUAAGGAUCAAACCCUAGGAUCGCAAGGCUAAUAUUCUUUCCCCAUUUACAAUUUGGUCCCUAAAUUUUCUCUUUUGUCUAGUUUGAGCCCGUUCCUAUUUGCAUCUUUGAUUCUGUUGGAAAAAUGAGUAAAUGGCUCACAUUUGACACAAUUUUCGGUAGGAUCCGUCGGUCCAAUUUGGAAGAUCAAAGUUGAUCCGUAAUCUUCUUUGUGUGAGCAUCAAAAUCAUUUAUUUACUUGCUAAAAAUGAAGCUCGAUGAAUGAGAAAUUGGAGCUCAAGUUGACCAGUGGAAGAUUAUUUAUGUGGGAAAAUAGGAUUUCUCACAUACGAAAAUGAAGAAAGUAUGAACGACUUUAUAUAUGGCUACACUUUGGAAGGGUGUAAUCAUGUGUAGCAUAGAUGCUCUCUCCAUGCGCGCGCGCAAGGGGUACAAAUCACGGAUCGAAAUAACCUUNNNNNNNNNNNNNNNNNNNNNNNNNNNNNNNNNNNNNNNNNNNNNNNNNNNNNNNNNNNNNNNNNNNNNNNNNNNNNNNNNNNNNNNNNNNNNNNNNNNNNNNNNNNNNNNNNNNNNNNNNNNNNNNNNNNNNNNNNNNNNNNNNNNNNNNNNNNNNNNNNNNNNNNNNNNNNNNNNNNNNNNNNNNNNNNNNNNNNNNNNNNNNNNNNNNNNNNNNNNNNNNNNNNNNNNNNNNNNNNNNNNNNNNNNNNNNNNNNNNNNNNNNNNNNNNNNNNNNNNNNNNNNNNNNNNNNNNNNNNNNNNNNNNNNNNNNNNNNNNNNNNNNNNNNNNNNNNNNNNNNNNNNNNNNNNNNNNNNNNNNNNNNNNNNNNNNNNNNNNNNNNNNNNNNNNNNNNNNNNNNNNNNNNNNNNNNNNNNNNNNNNNNNNNNNNNNNNNNNNNNNNNNNNNNNNNNNNNNNNNNNNNNNNNNNNNNNNNNNNNNNNNNNNNNNNNNNNNNNNNNNNNNNNNNNNNNNNNNNNNNNNNNNNNNNNNNNNNNNNNNNNNNNNNNNNNNNNNNNNNNNNNNNNNNNNNNNNNNNNNNNNNNNNNNNNNNNNNNNNNNNNNNNNNNNNNNNNNNNNNNNNNNNNNNNNNNNNNNNNNNNNNNNNNNNNNNNNNNNNNNNNNNNNNNNNNNNNNNNNNNNNNNNNNNNNNNNNNNNNNNNNNNNNNNNNNNNNNNNNNNNNNNNNNNNNNNNNNNNNNNNNNNNNNNNNNNNNNNNNNNNNNNNNNNNNNNNNNNNNNNNNNNNNNNNNNNNNNNNNNNNNNNNNNNNNNNNNNNNNNNNNNNNNNNNNNNNNNNNNNNNNNNNNNNNNNNNNNNNNNNNNNNNNNNNNNNNNNNNNNNNNNNNNNNNNNNNNNNNNNNNNNNNNNNNNNNNNNNNNNNNNNNNNNNNNNNNNNNNNNNNNNNNNNNNNNNNNNNNNNNNNNNNNNNNNNNNNNNNNNNNNNNNNNNNNNNNNNNNNNNNNNNNNNNNNNNNNNNNNNNNNNNNNNNNNNNNNNNNNNNNNNNNNNNNNNNNNNNNNNNNNNNNNNNNNNNNNNNNNNNNNNNNNNNNNNNNNNNNNNNNNNNNNNNNNNNNNNNNNNNNNNNNNNNNNNNNNNNNNNNNNNNNNNNNNNNNNNNNNNNNNNNNNNNNNNNNNNNNNNNNNNNNNNNNNNNNNNNNNNNNNNNNNNNNNNNNNNNNNNNNNNNNNNNNNNNNNNNNNNNNNNNNNNNNNNNNNNNNNNNNNNNNNNNNNNNNNNNNNNNNNNNNNNNNNNNNNNNNNNNNNNNNNNNNNNNNNNNNNNNNNNNNNNNNNNNNNNNNNNNNNNNNNNNNNNNNNNNNNNNNNNNNNNNNNNNNNNNNNNNNNNNNNNNNNNNNNNNNNNNNNNNNNNNNNNNNNNNNNNNNNNNNNNNNNNNNNNNNNNNNNNNNNNNNNNNNNNNNNNNNNNNNNNNNNNNNNNNNNNNNNNNNNNNNNNNNNNNNNNNNNNNNNNNNNNNNNNNNNNNNNNNNNNNNNNNNNNNNNNNNNNNNNNNNNNNNNNNNNNNNNNNNNNNNNNNNNNNNNNNNNNNNNNNNNNNNNNNNNNNNNNNNNNNNNNNNNNNNNNNNNNNNNNNNNNNNNNNNNNNNNNNNNNNNNNNNNNNNNNNNNNNNNNNNNNNNNNNNNNNNNNNNNNNNNNNNNNNNNNNNNNNNNNNNNNNNNNNNNNNNNNNNNNNNNNNNNNNNNNNNNNNNNNNNNNNNNNNNNNNNNNNNNNNNNNNNNNNNNNNNNNNNNNNNNNNNNNNNNNNNNNNNNNNNNNNNNNNNNNNNNNNNNNNNNNNNNNNNNNNNNNNNNNNNNNNNNNNNNNNNNNNNNNNNNNNNNNNNNNNNNNNNNNNNNNNNNNNNNNNNNNNNNNNNNNNNNNNNNNNNNNNNNNNNNNNNNNNNNNNNNNNNNNNNNNNNNNNNNNNNNNNNNNNNNNNNNNNNNNNNNNNNNNNNNNNNNNNNNNNNNNNNNNNNNNNNNNNNNNNNNNNNNNNNNNNNNNNNNNNNNNNNNNNNNNNNNNNNNNNNNNNNNNNNNNNNNNNNNNNNNNNNNNNNNNNNNNNNNNNNNNNNNNNNNNNNNNNNNNNNNNNNNNNNNNNNNNNNNNNNNNNNNNNNNNNNNNNNNNNNNNNNNNNNNNNNNNNNNNNNNNNNNNNNNNNNNNNNNNNNNNNNNNNNNNNNNNNNNNNNNNNNNNNNNNNNNNNNNNNNNNNNNNNNNNNNNNNNNNNNNNNNNNNNNNNNNNNNNNNNNNNNNNNNNNNNNNNNNNNNNNNNNNNNNNNNNNNNNNNNNNNNNNNNNNNNNNNNNNNNNNNNNNNNNNNNNNNNNNNNNNNNNNNNNNNNNNNNNNNNNNNNNNNNNNNNNNNNNNNNNNNNNNNNNNNNNNNNNNNNNNNNNNNNNNNNNNNNNNNNNNNNUUUUUUUUUUUUUUUUAACCAAAUAGAAAAUCGAUACUUAUCUUAAAAAAUAUAAACAAACCGAAUCAUGUUAGAAUUAAGCAAAAAUAUAUAUCCACCAAUGAGUACUUAAAAAAUUACUUAGUGAGUACUUUUCUAGUAACUUUGACAACUAGUCAUUCCAAAUAAGUGAAAGUUUUAACAAAUGUUCUUUUUGAAGUCGAUAUAAUUACUUUAUAAAUAAAUAAGUUUUAACAAAUAUUCUUUUUAUUAUCAAUAUCAAAUCUAUAGUAAGUUAUUUAUUUUGAUCAUAAUAUCUACUUUAUGGUCAAAACAAGUAUUUUUUUUCAUAAAUAUGAAAUAGUAAUGAAUACGUAAUUUAGAAAAAUAUGUAAUAUCUCUAACUAUUAAAAUAAAUAAUUUACUUUUAGAUCUAAUCAAUACAAAUUAUCUAUAAUAAAAUUUUCUUAAUAAUUAAAUUUUAGUCAAACAUGCAUUAAAUAGAAUAUCCAAUUUAACAAUAAAAUAUUCACAUUUCAUGAAUGUCUUGAAAAAAGUAAUUAAUAUUGCAAUGUUUUGAAUACAAUUUAAAUAAUUGAACAUUGGAAUUGGAUUGAGAUUUAAAUUGGAGAUAGGCUAAUGCUAAUAUAUGGGCCACAAUUCUACAAUUUUAUCUUAAAAAUGUAUAUGGGUUGGGGAACAUUGCUAGGCUACAGCCCAACAAUGCCCCCAUUAGCUCCGCCUCUGACUAAGCACAUAUAGGGGGUGUUUGAUAGAUAUUUUUAUAUAAAAAUACAUUUUAGAAUAGUAAAUUGAUGUGAAAUGUGUGGUUGAGAAAUAAGGAAAUUUUUUUAUUUACAUGUAAUAUUAUUUUAAUAAAAAAUGUGUGAUUGAAAAAAGAAGAGAGAGAAAAAUAUAUUUUAAAAAAAUACUAUCAAACGGGGCCAUAGUAACACUAUAAUAUAACUGUCCAAACGUUCUAAUGGACUUAGCCCUUCUUUGAGCCCCAUUUUUUUAAAAAUUUAUUUUCAACCAUACAUUCUUCAAUAAAAUAAUGUUACACAUAAAUUGAGAACUUUUCUUAUUUUUUAACCACAUGUUUUCUAAAAAAUACUAUUCUAAAAUACAUUUUUUUCCUUCAUAAUGCAGCUCAAAGAAGAGCUUGUAUUCAUUUUCUUUUUCUUUCCAAAAAUUAGUGACACGUUUAAUGUACUACAAUCCUCUGAGACCAUUCAACUUCAGAGAUGCCUAACGAGUAAAUCCUAUUGUUGAAUGGAACACGCAUUAGUAGAUAUGUCAAAAUGAAAUGAUAUGACGCUAAAGAUAUUGAUGGCCGUCCAUGUUAAAAUUUGUAAAGGUGUAUCAUAUUUGUUUUGGAAGUGUUGUACUCUGUCAAUAGCCUAGUUGCAUUCCAGCUUGCUGCAAAUUAAACAAGUGUGGUGCUGUGUCCUCGGAUAAAGAGAUAUAACACAAUAUCGACCAAUAAUCUCGUUGAUUUCGUGGAAUUUUGAUAGAGAUCGAAAAAUAGUUUGAGCUUAUGACCCGUCCGCCUCUUAUUAGGGUAAAAAUCAUGAGGCAUAGGCUUAUAUAGGGAGUACCAGACUUGGGUACAAGUACAUCCUUCGUUAUGAAUUUUGAAGAUUGUUUAUGAUUUAUUAUGAGUUCAUUUUGCAUUUUAGUAGUGCUUUGGUUUAUGGUGAGGCUUACGCCUCCUCUCAUGAAAGAAAAAUGGUUAAGAAUCCAAUAACACCUUUUUUUAAACAUUGAUUAUCCAAGCUUGGUACAACAGCUAGGGCUAGGCCCAUAAACCAAAAACCUCAAACCCAACCCAACCCGACCUCAAGUUAGGUCGGUUUGGAAUAAAAACGGUUCGAUUUGGGUUCCAAACCAUUAUAAAUUUUUUUGGGUCAGGCCGGUUGGGUUUAAACCCAUUUAAGACGGCCCAACCCGAUAUCAAAUGUAAAACCCUCCCUCUUCCUCUCAUUCGCAUUAACCUAAUAUCAAAUGUAAAAACCUUGUCCUAUUCUUCUCCCAAUAUUCUAGCAAAAAUAUUGAAUUUGUGUAUGUUUUUGUAUUUAUGAAAGCUUUUUUACAGAUGAAAGUCUCUAUUUAUAGUCCCAAGAUUAGGGUAAAAUUCAUGUCCCAUCCUCAUUCCAUAUCGAAGUCUAAUUGUAUUUGGAAAGAAACUUAGGGUUGCCUUGUGUAACCUUACGAUCACAUGGUUCAAAGAGUUGUGAUCAGAUAGUUCAACGUCAAAACAUGUUGGUUUCUGUUUGUCUCUAGUUGUUGUAGCUAGGUUUAUCUUUCAAAUAUUUACACUUUAGUCCUCACCAUCCACAAUAACUCAAAAUUGGUCCUCUACAACUUUCUAAAAUUGUGGAUAUAAGUCCUUAAACUUUUCAAAUGUUGAAUUUUACUCCCCAAACUCUUGAGUUUAAUUUCUCUGAUUACUCUCUUCAUACUUCUUAGCAAUCAUGUACAAUUUGGUUAGCAUUCAAUUUCCAUUAAUUUACUUCAAUUAAGCUCAAAAUCAUCCUUUCUCGCUCCAAAUGCAUUCAAGUACAGUUUUUUUUCCCCAACAAUUAACAUAAUUAUGAAAGUAGAUAUAUUUGUAUACUCAAUUAGCAAUAAUUUAUGAGUUUAAAAGUGCAGACCUAGAUACAUGGAACAUGUUAACACUACAUCAAGAUUCAAAAAGUUAUGGCUGCAAGUUGAUGGAACCCAGAUAAAGUAACCAGCUGAAAAUAAAUGCCAUACUAACUAGAACCCCACCACAAAGAUCCUCAAAUGUCUUGAUUUGGUUAUAAAUUAGAUCACUUUUUAUAGGCAAAAAAAGUAGUUAUGUGUUAUCUAUUUCAAAUUUCAACUUUCAUAUACGUUGUCUAUGGAAACUUUAAAUCUAGAUUUUUAUUAAAGUCGAAGUCAACAAUUAAUUUUAACUACGUAUUUCAUAGGAUCCAAAAUUUUUCAAACACACAUUUUAUCAAUUUUAUUAAAAUCUGCUAAAAGUUUAAUUUUAUGGGCAUGUUUAGAAUGUGAAUUGAAAUUGAUGACCACGGCGAUUGAUAAAUUUUGUUACAUAUGUAAUUUUCCCAAUUCCGUUCUGUCUAUCAUACUAAAUAUGUUAUCGUCAUAAAAUAUGAUGAACCACUGUAAAGAUCCUAAUCAGAACACACCAGAAUAGUGUCUUCAGGUUGUGUUAUGCAUGAUGCAUGGACUGGAUACAGCAGACAGAACAAAAGGAUGUCCCUCAUAAGCAUAAAAAAUCUGUGUUGGAUCUGUUAAUACUGUCUUCAUAUCAAAAUUCUUCAUUUUCGAAGUUUGGAGAAAUAGUUCCUUGGGCAAUAAAUUAAAGAUUCAUUAUGCAAUUUUUCCUUUAGUAUAUUUUCUUACUAGAAAAAUUAUACCAUUACUCCUCGAUUUAUUGCCUGAUUAAGAAGUUGGUCAUCAACUUUUAAAAGAGAGAGAAUUCUCGAUUUCUCAUUAUAAUUGUUCUUAUUGAACAAAGGAAUCUGUCAGAAUAUAUAUUAAAUCGUCACUUAGUCUCAUAUGUCCAACCUUGUGAAUUUAGAUUUCGUAUCCCAACCUGUACGAUGGCUUGAAAUUUGAAGUGAGGCAUAUUUUCGUGACGAUUUAGUUGAGAUUUGGACUAUUUCCAUGAUUGAAGGCUGAUUAUGCCUCAAAGGAAAGGCUGUGGAUCAACAUGCUCUUUAACUUACCAUUCAAAUCAACAAUGCAUUUUCCCUAUCAGGACAUGACUGCAUACCAUUUUAGGUAGAAGAAAAGUCUCGUAAAGCCAAUUUGCUAUCUUUUUACUGUAUUCUCCAAAUUAUUUGAUCAAGUUUGGUUCUCACUUUAUAUCCAUCCGUGGUCGGUCCCAUAUUUUAACGUCGGCUUGACUAAAAAUUCAUAAUUAUGACGUUCUUUGAAUGCUAUCCCACAUAUACUGAUAUUCCAAUGAAUAUUUCAUGUGAUGCUACAUUAUUUUUUCCCCCUUCUGGCUACAUUUUGGAUUGGAUUAUCCUAAUUCGUUUGAAGAAUUUGAGCAUUUUUGCUCAAGAAUUUUCUUUAUUUAGAUGAUAUUUUGUCCCUCUGAUAGUUAGAUCAAAGUUUUUGGCCAACCAAAUUCAGAAGAUAGAAUAAAAAUAGAGAGGAAGAUAUCUAAAGAAACAAAAUAAGAAAAUCUGGCUGGCAUUACGUCGCUCGCCGGAUAAUAGAAGUUAACAAGUUUAGCCUCAAAAAAUUGAAAUAAACCCGCUCUCGUACCACGUUGAAAAUUAUGAAUUGUUUUUCUUCUUAUUUCAAAGUAGAAAAUCCUACUUGUAGGGUUAAAAAUAACCAUAAUAGAAAAGAUUGUAUCAUGUUCACAAAAUCAAUAAUUAAGGCGGACAAUCCCACACACAACUGGAAAAAUAUUAUGAAGAAUAAUGUCAAUUGUUUUCCAUAACUUCAACAAAUAUGUCUAGAUGGAAACAUUUUCCACAAUAAAGAAAAAGAGGAAACAAGGGCAUUGUUUUACUUGUACACACAACGACAAAUGAAAGCAUAAAGCACGAAACACUAAAAACGAACACAGGCACAUGGUACUCAACCUUUAAAAGAGCACGUGAAUCCUCAACUUUAAAUUAUAAUUGUUAUUAGUGGACAAAGGAAUCUGUCAAAAUAUUUGUUAAAUCAUCAUGCUGUCUCACAUGUUUAAUCUUACGAAGUUAGAUAUCAUAUCCCAACCUAGGCUGAUGCUUAAAAUUUUGAAAUGAGGUAUAUUUUCGGGAUAAUUUAGUUGAGAUUUGAACUAUUUCCAUAAUUGAAGGCUGGUUGUGCCUAAAAUGAAAGGUCGUGGAUCAACGUGAUCUUUAAAAGGUUGAAGAUUAACUUAGUAUGGGAAUCAGCAAUACACGACUUUAUACCAUUAGAGGUAGAAGAAGGGGUCUCAUGAAGCAUAAAAAUCAAAUGCUAAAGGUUAUUAAUUUCCACACAAGUCAAUUAUGAAGACAGUUCGUUAUCUUUUUACUGUAUUCUAUAAAUGCCCAUUCUAUGUCCAUUCAUGGUGGGUCCCAUAUUUUAACAUCAGUUAUGACUAAAAAUUCAUAAUUACGACGUUUCUUGAAUUCUGUCCCAUGCAUACCAUUAUUCCAAUGAAUUUGGCAUGUGGUGCUACAUUUUUAUUUUUUUCUUUUUGGCAACAUUUUUGAGUUGGAUAAUCUAAAUUUGAAGAAUUUGAGCACUUAUGUUCAAGAAUUCUCUUUAUUUAUGUUGCACUUUGUCCAUCUGAUAAUUAGAUUAAAGUUUUGGAGAUAAUAUUUCAUUUAGCCCAGUUUGGUCCCCCAUUUUCUUAAACUUAUUUUUGUUCAAACUCAUGAUUUUCAACGACAUGUUUCUUGUGCCUCAUAACUUUUGUUAACUUUUCAACCACUAUUUCCAUUAACUUUUAUGUAAAUCUACUAGAAAUUUGAUUUCUAACUUUAAACAAAAUAGCGGCUUAGUAUGAUAUCAAAGAAUUGGAAGAUCUUGAAUUUGAGUCUUUUGUAAAUCAUUUGUAAAUAUUUUAACACCAAAUAUUUAACCACGGGGUAUAAUUAGAAGAAAAUUCAUCCAUGGGCACAUAUAAUAUAUCAAAUUUAAUUGGACCUACAUGCAAAAAAGUUGUUUAUCUCAAAUUCCACUUGCUAAGGUAAUAUUUAAUUGGACCCGCAUGCAAAAAGUCAUUUAUCAUGAAUUUUACUUCUAGGAUAAGAGCAUUUUCAACAAUUCUCAUUAUUUGAAAACCAUUUUGAAGUAUAAUUACAAAUAAAGUCCAUUUUUUUUACGAGUCCAAUACGCUAUGUAUAUUUCAUCUUUAAUUUGAUUUUUUCAACAAACUAUUAUGGCUUACUGUUGCGUUAAAAGUUGCAAGUGGAGGAUCUUAUAAACAAAUAAUAGAAUGAACAGAAGAAUUCAGGUUAUCGUUCCUACGAGGACUAUGUAUUUAAUCUAAUUUCAAUUAAAUCUAAAUUUAAUUGAAUAGUAUUCGCGAAAUUAUUCCUUUCGAUUUUAAACUACCGCAAGUGUACGGUUCGUUAACAAGUAAUAAAGUGGAUUAUAUGAGUUCGAAUAUCGUCCCACAGAGAUUGAUUAGUUCAAUUUUACCUAUCGUCGCCUUAACCGAAACAAUAGAAAUUCUUGAUAUCUUCGCUAACUAAAUUAUGAUUUAAUAACCUACUUAUAAAUAUAAAGUCUGAGUUAACUAAAUUAAAUGUGUGAUUAUAACUAAAUGCAAGUUUUAUAAAAAUAUGAUAAUGAAAUGCGUACUAGGAUCCCGAAUCCCCUUAUAUCAAUCCUCUUUAAUCCGAAUUUUAUAAAAUUGACAACACGAUUCAAUUAUGAAGACCAAUAUUCCUAAUUUAUUUAACAAUUUCUCUCGAGUAGAAUUAAAUCUAUUUUCACAUGCGAUCCGACUAUAUUUCUAUGACGGAUGCGAACAUAUAAAAAUGCAUUAAAGAUUUAUGAAUACUUAAAGAUCACAUAAAGUAUAGCGGUAUAUUUUUAUCCCCUAUCGAACUUUACGACAAUUAACAUAAUGUCUAACUCAUUUUCCAUCUCUCGAGGGUAAAACAAGCCACAAAUCUCAUACAACUAUUGCGCACAUAAUUGUAGAGAAAAUAAAAUUCAUGCCAAUCAUUCAAUAAUUAAAAACAUGUUUUAACGUCAAAUAAAUAAAAUUCAAGAUUAAGGGUUCAUAAUGUAAGGUUCACCGCAAAUCCUAGCACAUGAAAAUCUAGCCUAACAUAAUAGGAAAUAAAGAAAAGCAAUAAUUAAAACCAAGGAAGAAUAUCACCCAAUUGAUUCUUGAAGUGAAAUCUUGAAUCUUGAAAUGGAUUGCCUUGUUUUUGCCUUGUUCUUCCUCUCCAAAUCCUCCAAAAUUGUGUAUAACCCCCUCCAAUUCUGUAAAAGUGGCGUCCCCUCAUUCUAGUCAAGUUUUAGUUUAUAUAAAACCCUAAAAAUCUUCUUUCCAUAAGAGUUUCGGCGAAAUAAGGAAACUGCUGAAUCGGCCCCGAAUCUUAUUCUAUGCGACCUCAUAGUACAUUUCUAUGCUGUCGUCUAGAGUAAAAAAAUUUGAGAAAAAGUUCUCGGGAGGCUUCUAUGCGACCGCAUAGAAUUUAUACUAUGCGACUGCAUAGUUAUACCAUUUUUUCCGCUGGAUAACUUUUAAUAUUUUGGUCAUAAAUUUCUCUCCUAAUCUUUGAUUGAAGUGAUUCAAAGUGUAUUGUGAAGAAAACUCAAAGAUCUACAAUUUUGAUAGAAAUAGGCUUCCUCGAAUUCUGAUGUUUACUAUGUCAAAAAUGGAUCUCAAGUAGAGAUUAAAAUUCACGAGCAUAGCUUUUUCGCCUGAAAGUUGAUACUUGAUAAUACUUCGAUCAUAUUUCACCUCUUGACUCCUUUCCUCAUCCGAUUAACCUCUAACACUCUUGAAUCUUCAUUCCAUUUCCCAUUUCAUCUAUGGAUUAUUUGCAACUUGGUCCUCGAACUAUCACUUUGCUCCAUUUUAGUCUUUUUUCGGCUCUUUUCUUCUGAAUUUCACCAUGUUCAUUGAUGUUCUCUACAAUUCACAAAUAUAACGAGAUUAAGUCACAAUUCAAUCAUUUUUCUUAUUAUUAAAUCAUGUUUGUGACCUAAAUAAGUGUGCAAAAACACAUUUAUCAAAUAGCAAGACUUAAUUUGAAAGAGUUCUAUGUUAACAAUUAAACUCAUAACCACUUGAACUAAUCUAACUAAUUAAUUGGGAAAUGUUUAUGAUACUUAUGUAAUGACAAACACUUGGACUUUCAACUUCCCUACAUUUAAUCCAUUUUAAAAUCAUUCCGAGAUUUAGACAACACUUGUUUGGAUAUAAAGAUCAAUUUCCCUAAUUUGUUAAAUAAUCUCUCUAGUUGAAUUAAAUUUAUCCUCAUAUAUGACUCUCAUAUAUCUCUAUGAAUAAUACAAACAUGUUACAAUUUUGUAAAUCAUAAGAAUAUUUAUAACAUCAUGCAAAGCAUAUCGAUAUAUCUCUAUCCACUAUUGGACUUUACAAUAAUUUUUACUACGUUCUAUAAUUCCUAUUCUUUGCAUCUCUUCAAUGACCCCUUGAUCCAUUGCCUUUGAUUCUUCUUCUUUUUUCUUUUUUUUCCCUACAAUCCAAGCAAUUGAGUAUGAAAAUUGUGUGGAUAGGUGUAAUUUGUAUCGAAAUUUCUAUGAAGUUUGAAAGAAAUAUGGAUUUGUAGAUCAAAAGCUUCCUCAUUAGGCUUCCUCUUUAUAGGAUAUAUGUAAUUUCUCUCCCCCCCCCAGUAGCCUCAUUUGAUUGUUGGAUGAAGGUUUAUAUAAUUAUAGACCGAAGAAUUACGUAAAAAAUCGUACUAUAAUUGCUUUUCAAAUAGACGUUGAUUUGAACGAAGAAAUCGUUUGCAUAAUGUACUGUGGUGUGAUUGUGGAUGCUAAAUGUUUUGCUCGCUACUCAAAAUUCUUUCUACGUUGCAAUUGUAAGGAUCAAACCCUAGGAUCGCAAGGCUAAUAUUCUUUCCCCAUUUAUAAUUUGGUCCCUAAAUUUUCUCUUUUGUCUAGUUUGAGCCCGUUCCUAUUUGCAUCUUUGAUUCUGUUGGAAAAAUGAGUAAAUGGCUCACAUUUGACACAAUUUUCGAUUGGAUCUGUUGGUCCAAUUUGGAAGAUCAAAGUUGAUCCGUGAUCUUCUUUGUGUGAGCAUCAAAAUCAUUUAUUUACUUGCUAAAAAUGAAGCUCGAUGAAUGAGAAAUUGGAGCUCAAGUUGACCAUUGGAAGAUUAUUUAUGUGGGAAAAUAGGAUUUCUCACAUACGAAAAUCAAGAAAGCAUGAACGACUUUAUAUAUGACUACACUUUGAAAGGGUGUAAUCAUGUGUAGCAUAGAGGCUCUCUCCAUGCACGCGCACAGGGGGUACAAAUCACGGAUCGAAAUAACCUUUGGACCUUGAACUUGUGUGCGGGGGCGACCUGCGUACAUGAAUGUCGGAUCGAACGGAGCAAAAAUUGGCUCGUUUGAAGUGUCCACGAUUUGUAAUUUUUUACUUUCUCCAACUGACUUUUGAGUGUUUGAAAUUGAUAAAACUCCAACAGAAGUUGAAGUGACUCCAAUAUUUAUUGCCAUAGAUCUUAUAUUAAGUCUCAAUUUCCAGCAAUUUCUCACACGCACCAGAAAGUACACGAAAAUAUACACUUUGCUUAUUAUUGUUCUUUGCGUCUAUCUGCAUAUACAAUCUUGAGUUCUGCCAGCGUCGUCUUGGUGGAGAUAUUAUUAGGAUACUAAUCAAUUCGCCGGAGUAGUAUUUACGGUUCUAGAUCCUACUGGUUUUAUCGUUGUAUCUUGUAAAAGAGACGCUCGGAUUAAAUAUCUAGCACUUAAGGUGAGGGGACGAAUCUAUUUUAAGAAAUUGUGCUCGCACAGGCCUCGAGUUGAAAGUUCAUCUGUUAUUGAUUUAAUUCCUGCGAUUUUAUAUAUUUUUGCAAUUUAUUCGAGUGCUUUAUAUAAUUUGCAGUUUACCAUGUUGUCGUUCUAUUUAUGUUUAUUAAAAACAUAAUAAUAAUAAUAAAUUAAUCUGCGUUAUUUGGCCAACUAGAUUAAUUUGAUCAAAUUAAUUUGUUAAUUCUAUUGCAAUUUAAAUCUGCUAUAUUUUAUCUUGUUCACUACAUAUACGGUAUAUGCAAAAUCGGUAUAUGUAAUUACGGUAAUAUGCAUAUACGGUAUGUAUAAAUAUGGUAUGUUGUAUAUACGGUAUGCAUAAAUCCAACAUGUAAAUUGCACAUACUGUAUGAAUAAUCCGGUUUCAUCCACCGCACAAAAUUUCCAACAGAUUCUUCAUCUUUGAAUCUUAACAAAUAUUUACUCCAUAUUUCAAAAUCAUUAAUAUUUGUUCCAAUGCAAGUUUCAAAAGAUCACAAUUUAAUCCUCUAAACUUUUUAAUUGUUGAAUUUAAUUCUUGAGACUUGUAAAUUUCUUCCAAUUGUCCUCUUAACUCUUCUAAUUGAUCACGUGCAAUGCAAAUAAUCUUGAAUUGCCUCGAUUGAUUCCAUUUAAGCUCCAAAACUCCUUUUUCACGCCUAUUGUAUCCAAGUGGAAUUUUUCCAUAUAUUUUACAGAGAUUAAGUAGAUAUCCACUCAAUUGAUACAAAAUUAAUCAAAUUUAGAAGCUCGGAUAAGUCCAAAAGCACUCCCUAUAAUUUUUAUUUUUUUCACUUAACUUCUCCAUUGUUUACAUUGUCAUUUUCCUUUAUUUUGAAAUAAGAGUACGGAGAACUGUAAAAUAAUAAAUGAUAGUAGCUAAACUACUAUUGAUUACAGAGAAAAAUAGAAGAAAGUUGAAAAUUCGAUAGAUUUGUGUAUAUUAUAAUGAGAACUAAAGCCUAUAUCUGAUUAAUUUCCAAUGACUUUUCCUAGGAGUUCCUUGAAUUCUUAUCAAAAUAAUUACUAUCAAAAUAAAUAAAAGAAAGCAGAAAAUUCGAUAGACUUGUGUAUAUUAUAAUGAGAACUAAAAUUCAUAGUUUUUGGAGUUCCUUGGAUUCUUAUCCCUGGUAUAGAUCCGAUUUCAAAUACUUAGGUUAUCGCUUCUUCUUUUUUCCCCCUCUUUUUUUCAUAAAUAAAAAAAACCUUGUGGGGAAAAAUCCAAAAUUUGAAGUUUGAGCAUUCUUUUUCAAGGAUUGGUCAAGAAUUCUUCUUUAUUUAGAUAGAUUUAUGAACCUAUAUGCAAAAUUCUAUGCAUCUUGAUGUAGCGGAAGGUUAUAGGAAAAAUAAACAAAUCUUAGAAGAUGAAAAAACUCACAAUUUUUAUUUUUAUUUUUUAUUUCUGUUAAUCAAUGGGACCACGAAAGGCUUACAAUGCUUUAUAUAGGAAAAACCCUAGGAAAAUUCUGAAAAAUAAAAAAAUUAGACUAAAAUUUAUUGGCCCGUUUCCAAUCAAAUUAAACUAAAAUUUCGCCAAAAACGAAGAACCCCAAAAUUUCUCCAAAAAUUGAAAAGUUGUUUAUUUUUGCCUGUGCCAUUUCACUUUUUCAUAAAAUCUAAUUCCUUCUGCAUCACAUCACAUCUUCAAUUUCACUCGCCAAGUUUCAAGUAUAAAUAUGGCCUGAAGAAAUUUUCCUAGCGAAACUUAUCUUGAGGAUUUUAUGUAAAUUCUAUGUGUGUCUCUCUAGAAAUAAGAAUGGCUACUUCACAUUCUCUCACUUCUCUCCUCUUCUUUCACUUGGCCUUUUCUUCUUCUUUUGUGUCAACUCGAGUCUCUUCAUCAUCCAUUGCUUCUGACCAAAACAAGUUCUGGUCCAAAAACGUGCAAAAUCGAACGCCAGAUUCUGUCUUCAAAAAACUAUCCCCAUUAACAAAGAAGGAUCGCAAUUAUUAUAGAAAAUGAUAUCCAAAAACGAUUUCUCAGAAAAUCACAAUUUUUGGUCACUUGCUAAACUCUCUUCUUCAUUCGAAUUAAUCAAUUUUCACUAAUAAUGGUGCAUUACCUGUCAACUCCAAUACGCAGACAAAUUUUCUUAACAGGAUCUCAAUCCUUACAGAAGGAUAUAAAUUCCAUCUCUCAGAUUUAGAAGAAAAAAUUCCAAAUCGAGCAUUUCUCCCUCAAGAAAUAGCAUCAAAAAUUUCUAUCAGCAGAAAAAGCAUUACAAAACUAUUUCCCAAGUCCUUUGAACUGUCAAAGCAAUCUAUGGAAACAACUCUUUCUUAUUGCAAUGCACAAGCUAUAAAGGGAGAAAUCAAGAAUUGCCCAAAAUCCCUAGAAAAAAUGAUUAGUAUCUCAAAGUUUGCCUUAGGCAAAAACAACUUACUUGCACUGGCUUCAGAAUGCACGAGAAGUGAAUUCCUGAUAAGAAAGAUCAAGAAAUUUGAUAGGCAGAAAGUAGCUGCCUACCAUGAAGUUUAUCCUCCCUUUGCAGCCUAUUUCUGCCAUUCAAUCUCUUCAACUCAACUCUAUGCUGUAGACUUGGUUGAACCCAAGACUCGACUCCCAGUUAGCACUGUGAUUGCAAUAUGUCAUAUGGAUACCUCAGCUUGGCCUGCAAGUCAUGUGGCUUUUAAGAUUCUGAAAUUCUCCCCUGGAGAAGGCGAGGCAUGUCACUGGAUGUCAAGCAUUGAUCUGGCAUGGAUUGCCGUUGACUAGACAGUAUGAAAUUGGAAUGUGUGUACUCAAUCUGUAGCGAUGAAGUAGACGUAAUUCUUGAGCAGUAGAGGAAACUCGGUCAAUGUGGCUUGUAAAUUAAGAUUGUAUAGAAGCUUGAAUUCUGUAGGAUUGCGCAAGAAAGACAUCUUUGUUAUCAUCAGAUUAUAUAAUAAACUUAUGGGCAGAGGUGAUCUAUAAGAGUGUACCUUUUUCAUUGCUACGCUGCAAUUAAUGUUGAGAAAUUCUUAGUUCAAAUCCUAUAGAUCUGAAGUAUAUUUUCCAAUAUAAUUAUGAUAUUUACCUUCAAAUAUGGAAAAAAAGACGUUCUACCCAUAACCUGUGAAUUAUGCUUAUCUUGAUCAUUGAAAUAUGAAGAAGAAGAUGUUCCACCUAUAGUCUGUGAAUUACACUUUAUGUUGGCCAUUAAAAGUAGUCUUGGAAGUGAUUAUUACCAUCUCACACUUGAUCAUACUUGCUCAUUGAUUAUUUUCGGAGAAAAACAAUAUUGGAUGAGAAUGGAUGAAAAGAAAUGACAGUUUUUAAAAAAUGAGUAAAGUUGGACAUAUUUUAGAAGUUGAGGACCAAGGAAUCAAGUUUGAAAGUUGAAAGACUUUAAUUGUAAUAUAUCAGGAUUCGAUCUGAGCAAAAUGAGGAAACGUGGACCAAUUUAAACAAGUGAAAGUAUAAUUUUCAGCAAUUUAGAAUAUCCUAAAUUGACUUAAAUAGUUAAAUUAUGAUUCUCUAUGAACUUGGGACUCUAUUUUAGACCUAAAUUGAGGUCUAAAAUAUGAAUCUUUCAUUCAUAAUUAAAGAAGGUUAGAUAUACCAUCUUUAGGCAAAAUUAUUACACAUUCAAAUACAUCGAACCCUCAAGAUUUGCAUCUUAAUUUGGGGUUUGAGGAUUGAAGAACACAAUUGGCCGAGAGAUAUAUCUACUUUGAUGAGAAGAUUGAUGAUCCAUUAUUGAAAAUUGGGUGUUAAAGAACAACAAUUGUUAGGAUUAUUUUCUUUAUUCAUCAUAUUGAACUCUGUGAUUUUUAAUCCUUUGAUUUUUUUUAUUCCAAAAUUAUGAAUGGAUAAAUAAUUAGUUGUCAUGAUGAAUGAUAUAGCUUAGAUUUAAUACUUAUUUAAUUCAAAAGAUUCCAUGUAACUCUGAUGUGUGUUAAUUGCAUAUUGUGUUGAAUUAACAUUCAAUUGCUUGAUCACCAAUUUACAAGUUUAAGGAUGUUAUUGAGAACGAAAUGAGAUAUAUUUGUUUGAUUCGUGCAAUAUGUGACAUGUUUUUAUAAGAGAACGAGAGAUAAUUAUAGCUUGCAAUCUUGAUUGAAUUCCUACAAAUUAAUGCCUUUACAUGUGUAUGAAUUUAUAUAGAGAUAUAGUAAAUUCGAGUAUGUGAAUAUAUCUAGUUUUGCUCGAGAAAGACUAUUAGCUAAAAUUGGUUAAUUCCGUUAUUGAUACAUAUGAAAAAGAGGUUGAAUGAUGUUGGAUUGGUGAAUAUUAAUAGCCUAAGUGAAAUUGGGGUUCCUAACCACUUAAUCCUUAAAGUUCUCCACAAAUUAGAUUAUCUAGGUUAAAUUAGAACAUCUUAGGAUAAAUUAGUUAUAAAAAAACACUUGAUUUGAUAAAUUUUUACAAUGUUAAUUUAGAUUUACGCUAGAUUUAAGAUAAAAUUGAUAAUAAGUAUUUAGUCUUUGUGAGUGCAAUACUUGUCGUCAAAAUUCACUGUCAAUAUAACUUGUAUCAUUUCACACACUCGUGGAAUUAUGCGAUCAGUCUGCUUUCACUAUCACAAUGAGAACAAAAUUGGGUUGCUGUACAUAUUUCCUCUCCACACUGAAUUGCCAUAAGGCUAGAACCCUAAAGUUCCCUAAAAGCCCACAGCUUUGUUUUAGCUAGAGCAAAAAUACAAAACGAACAUGUGUAAAUAUGUGGACUCAAAGGGCAUAAGUUUUAGGCUUGCGUCAAACUUNAUAUAUGUAUGUAUGUAUGUAUGUAUGUAUGUAUGUAUGUAUGUAUGUAUGUACAAAUAAAUGUGUACAAAAUGAGUUAUUUACUCUCACAAACAAGCGGUCCCCACAUGAAUUUAAAAAAUGUCGGCUCGUGGUCUCCAUCUCAUACUGUGAUUAGUAAGUAAAGAAUUUUGUAAAAAAAAGUUUGUAAAUGUAGCAUGAUCCCCUCGGUUAAAUGUAAGAGAGCUUCAUUGGUCUAAUGGGCCAACCAAUGCAUUACUAGAGAAAGAGUCUAAGGGCUUCAAGCCCGUUAUGGCCCGAUGUCAAAUACCAUGUACAUAUAGUAACACUAUAAUAUAACCAGCCAAACAUUCUUUAAUAUAGAAACUAUGAGUACAUCUAAUGGACUUAGCCCUUGUUUGAGUCCCAUUUUAUCAAAAAUUUAUUUUAUCAAAACUCAUUUUGAAUCAUACAUUCCCCAAAAUAAUAAUAACAAUAAUAAUAAUGUUACACGUACAUUGAAAACUUUUUUUAUUUUUCAACCACACAUUCUCCAAAAAAUAUUUUUCCAAAAUACUUUUUUUUUUCUUCAUAAUGCGGCUCAAACAAGGGCUUAAUAAAAAUUUGAAGUCAAUUUCUGUAUCUUAGGCUAAAUUAUGUUUCUCAAUAGUGAACUAAGAGCUUGUAUUCAUUUUCCUUUUCUUUCCGAAAACUAGUGAUCAAGUUUAAUGUACUACAAUCCUCUGAGACCAUUCAACUUCAGAAAUACUUUCUUGAUGCCUAAUGAGUAAAAAAUAUUGUUGAAUGGAACACGCAUUAGUAGACGUGUCAAAGAUAAAAUGAUAUGACGCUAAAGUAUUGAUGGUAGUCCAUGUUAAAUUUUGUGAAUGUGUAUCAUAUUUGUUUUGGAAGAGUUGUACCCUGUCAAUAUCCUGAUUGCAUUCCAUCUUGCUGCAUAUUGAACAAGUGUGGUGCUCUGUCCUCGGAUAAAGAGAUAUAACGCAAUAUCGACCAAUAAUCUCAGUAAUUUCGUGAAAUUUUGAGAGAGAUUGAAAAAUAGUUUGAGCUUGUGACCUGUCCACUGCAUAUUAGGGUAAAAAUCAUGUGGCAUAGGCUUAUAUAGGGAGUACCAGACUUGUGUACAAGUACAUCCUCUGUUAUGAAUUUUGAAGAUUGUUUAUGAUUUAUUAUGAUUUCAUUUUGCAUUUUAAUAUUGUUUUGGUUGAUGGUGAGGCUUACGCUUCCUCUCAUGAAAGAAGAACGCUUAAGAAUCCAAUAACACCUUUUUUAAACAUCGAUUGACCGAGCAUGGUACAAUCGCUAGGGCUUUGCCUAUAAAAAUCGCAAACCCAACCCAACCCCGAAUUGGGCUGGAUUAGGUCUGGUCAGGUCACUUUGGAAUAAAAACGGUUCGAUUUGGGUUCCAAACCAUUAUAAAUUUUUUUGGGCCAGGUCGGUUUAGGUUUAAACCCAUUUAAACCGGCCCAACCCAAUAUCAAAUGUAAAACCCUCCCUCUUCCUCUCAUUUGUAGUGGUGUCAACAAGCCGAUUCACGAAUCGAAACUUGAAGCUCGAGCUUUGCUCAAGUAAGAUGGUCCAAGUUUUUUUACAAGCCAGAGUCGAGCUUUUGCUCGACCAAAAUAUCUUGGCUUGGGCCUUACUGAACAGAGUCGGACAUGCUCGAUUUUUUUUUUAAUUAAGGAUGCUGCCUAAAAAAAGCACUCAGCUACCUUUACAUAAUUUAAUUUAUUUUUUUAUGUGAAAAGGCUUGUGAGCCCGAGCUUCAAGCCAGGUUAGCUCAGGCUUUUUCCAGUCCCAACUAUGACCGGCUUGAGCCGACAAGCUUGAUUGCCAUCCCGACUCAUUCGCAUCAACCCGUGAAACCUUCUCUAUGCUUCUAAAACCUAGCUGCCUGCAUCCACUAAUCUUCCUCUUCUCUACAACUAUUUGGCAUUUGGUUGCCACUUUUCAAGCGUUCUCUUCAAUGUAUUGUUUGUGAGUUACUCUCUCUCCACUUCUGUUUUUUCGUAUUAAAGAUUUUUUUUUUGCAAACUGGGUUGUUAAACACUGCUUUAUAUUUAUUUCUUGUGUUCAGUCAUCCAAAUAAAAGUCCUGAUCCGGAAUUGAAGAAGUUCAUUUUUGCACGAGGUACUAACCAACAUUUUCUCACUUUGGUAUUUUUAUAGAAAUUCCAGACAUUAGUCUGAUAAAAAUAUUUUUCUUCUUUUUUUAAAGUGUUUGUAUUUUGCAUUUGGGUUCUCAGUUUAUUAAUAUAUUUAUUGAAUCAUGUAGAUUGCUUUAGGUGAGUAUUAAAUUGUACCAGUUGGUUGUCAAAAUAAGAGGUGCUUCUUCAUAUGUAAUGCAAUUUCGUUAUUUUAAAGUCAAUAAUUACCAGUUACAUUGUUUAAAUUAAUUAGCCUUAUUCCAUUUCUUAUAUGGUUUCUAGAUUCUGUCAUAUAUUUAGUCCAUUGUUCUUGAAUUAUUUGCAGCAAGGUUAUAGAAGAAGAAAGAGUGAUAUUUUGGUAUUCAAUUUCUGCUCUUAUUUUACCAAUUUUGCUCCUAUUUUUACCAGCAUGUUACCUCCAUUAAUCACAUUGAAUGCUGGGACUGGCAUAACAAGCUCUUUGGUGUUUGAUAUUUCCUGAAUGUACAUGUGUUUGUAGAGGGAUAUCCCCUUUGCUCCAGCUCAAGCCCAACAUCCACUAAGAGAAACUCCUAGAAUUGCAUUAGCCCCCAAUUUUGAUUUGUUUGGAGUUCCUUCAAUCUCCAGCACAAUCGCAUCAACCUCAGCUUGAUUCCUUUGUAUAGAAGAAAGGCAACGUGGUCAGUAUUAGCAGUAUUUUGUUUCUUGUUUGAUUUGUAUAGAUAUGAAUACAUAUAUAAAUAGUGAAAUUGAAGCUAUUAAUGAAACUCCUUCAACAUCUGUUCCCCCACUUCCACUAUUAUGUUUAGGGAAGAGAAAAAAUAAAAAAUCUUUGGAUGUGUGGGAACACUUCACAGUUGUAGGGAAUCCAAACGCUGAAGACGUUAGGUGUGCACAAAACUAUUGUGGGCAGGAUUAUGCCUGUGGGGCUAGGAAGUAUGGGACUAUUAACUUGAGGAAUCAUUUGGUUUUUUAUUGUAAGAAGUAUCUCAAAAGAUUGGAAGAUAGAUGACAAAAAGCCCAAUUGAGGGUUGUGUGAACAUUCUAGUUGGCUUUAAUAAGGAAGAGUGUAGGCUUGCAUGUGCUAAGAUGAUAAUAUUGGACGAAUUACCUUUUGGCUUUGUUGAAGGUGAGGGGUUUAGACAAUUUUGUAAGGUAGCAAGUCCUAAAUUUGAUCCUCCAUCUCGUAGAAUUGUUGUUGGAGAUCAGUUGUAUAUGGAUAAAAAAUUGCAAUUGAAAAAGAUCAUCCAACAUCAAAGAGUUUCUCUUACUAUUGAUACUUGAAGCUCCAUUCAAAAUAUUAGUUAUAUGUCUCUCACAGCACACUAUGUUGAUUUUGAUUGGAAGUUCAUAUAUGGAUUUUGGGUUUUUGUGUGAUUGCUAUUCAUAAGGGUGAAACCAUUGUUAAAGCUGUUGAGGCUUGUUUGCGUGUAUGGGGUAUUGAGACAUUGUUUACAAUUACAGUUGACAAUACAACUACAAAUGAAACAGCUAUUUCUUAUAUGGGGAGGAAGAUGAUUGGUUGAAGUGGUGAUGGGUGUGUUUUAAAUGGAAAGCAUCUGCAAAUGAGGUGUUGUACGCAUAUUGUUAAUUUGAUUGUGUGUGAGGGAUUAAAGGAAGCACAUGAUUCAAUUGUUAGUAUUCACAGUGUUGCGAAAUAUGUUAAAUCACUUGUGAAGAAAAAAUUGAUUGUAGUCACUUGUGUUUUUGGAUGUACUCACGAGGUGGAAUUCCACAUAUUUGAUGUUGGAAGCCACUUUAAAAUUUCAAAAAGCUUUUGAAAGGUUAGAGGAUGAUGAUGUGCAGUAUGUAAAUUAUUUUUAGGAGUAUGAUGGUUGUAGAAGAAGUGGGCCUCCUACAACUUUUGAUUGGGAAAAUGCUUCUAUUUUUGUGAAGUUCCUUAAAAGCUUUUAUGAAGUGAUUUUGAAGUUCACAACUUCAAUGCAUGUUAGCUCUAAUGUUUAUCUUCAUGAAGUAUGUUCACUUGUAAUUGAAUUGAAACAAUUGAGUUCAAGUGGUGAUUUUCUUUUGGGUGAAAUGGCUAUCUGUUGGGAAUCUAUUUAUACAUGUACAGCGGAAUUAAAAUAAUUUUUGAUUCCCACCAAGAAUCGUCUUCGUGUUUAGAUAGAAAUUGUGAUAAGAUUGUACCUUUUCAGAUCUGCAAACUUCUUUGCUAUUCUUUUCAUUCCAUCAAUCUUGAUUCAUCAUUCACAGCUGUCCAAUUGUCCAGCCUCCAACGGUAAUCCAUACAGAGAUCAAGAUUGCAGCUACUAGGGUUUUCUCUCUUGUGCCAACAAGAAUAAUGAAAAUCAUGUGGACCUCAAACCCUAACCAUGUAUUUAUAUAAACCCAAACGGGCUCGGUCCGGUCCGAUCCAAUAUUUAAUUAAUCCAUUUAAUUAAAUUCGGUCCGUGAAUUAAUUAAUCUAAUUAAUAAAUUCGACAAUAUAAUUAACAAAUCCAAUUAAUUAAUUUAUCCAACGAUUGUUAAAUUAACCAAUUAACAAUUUGAAAUCUUCCAAUUUUCUUUUGUGUGCGACCCAUUAGGUUCCCGACCACGAUAUCUAACGACGUGAAAUAUUAUUUUCAUCUAAUUAAAAUUGAUAAAUUAAAACACCCUUUUAAUUUAUCGUCAAUUUACACUCGCCAUCCCUGAUUGACAUCUAGCAAUGUGUCAAGGCAAUACAUGUGACGGGAAAUGUCACGUGGUAUGACAAAACCAAAUUCGUUCGUUUACCGUGAAAUUAUAAUCCCUUCGUUAAUAUGAUCCGAUCAAUUACGAGAUAUGGAAUUGUGUCAAUCUCGAAUUUCAAUCAUAUCUUUCACUCCACUAUUAAGUUAAUAUAAGUCGAAAACUCCUUUUCGACUUAUGAGUACACCUUGGCCAAUGAUUUUGUUAUCGACUUAAUUGAAUAAAACGCAGAUCAUAAUUUCCUACUAUCUAAGAGUGACGAAUCUUUUAUUGGUCAAUCAUAACCUUCAUACAAUUCUUGACGUACCAGAACGAUGUCGUAUUAGCGGCCCUUUACAGAGCAACAUCAACACCGCCAAAGUAUGACUGUCCUCAUGUAAGGUACCAUGACGACCUCAAGUCUAAAGACCAAUUUCACUACCAAACGUUAGAGAUUAACCACUGACACUCAGAUAGUUAUAAUAUGGAAUCUCUCGACGGGUCUCCAAUGUUUUGUUCUAUAACAAAACAUCCACUUGUCAUUUAAGUGUCACCACACUUUAGUUUGUGAGAUCAGCUACUUACUUCACAAGUAAGAAAUGUCACACGUGAUGAUCUAUCAGUAAUAACGAUAUCCGUAUCUCGUUAUCACUUAUGACCAUGGACAAUUUAAGAUUCAAUCAGAUGUAAUUUGUAUCUCACAAUCACAACUCCUUGUGAUUAAUAAAUUACGAAGAUUUGAAUCUACGGACUCUAUUAUUUAUUUAAUUAUCUAUUAAUUAAAUAAUAGAUCUGACAUUUAAUUGCAUUAAUUAUAUAUAAAAGUAUUUAUGUCCAAAAUUGAUUGGACCUAGGGCAUAAUAUUUACAAACUCCCACUUGCACUAGAUCCAAUCAUUUAUGUAUCCAUUAUCAUAAGUCUACAUGACGAUCAUGUUUAUGCUACGACAACUCUUUGUCAAUGGAUCUGUAAUAUUGUUAAAUGUGGGAAUUUGUUCUUCUCUUUACGUCAUUUCUAUGUAUUAUCUCUCUGAUGAGAUUAUAUCGCGUUAAUACAUGUUUGGAUCAUUGAUGAGACCUUAGUUCAUUUGCUUUCGCAAUGGCUCUAUUGUUAUCACAAUACAAUGGUAUGUGAUCAACAAUAUCAGGAACUACUCCAAGUUUAUUUAUGAACAUCAUGAUCCAUAUUGCAACUCUUUGCUACUUCUGAAGUAACCAUGUAUUAGGUUUCUACUAUUGAAUCAACGGUUGCUUCACGUUUGAAACCUUUCCAACAUACCGCUUAAGAGUAAACUAGUUUCUUCAUAUGAAAUUUUCUCAAGAUUUCAUCUAUGUAAAUUGGGAUGAGUUAAGCAAUCUUCUAGAUCUACCUCUAUAGAUCUAGUUGCUUAUCCCAUAUCGUUUAUGAAUAAAUUCUUUAACAACCAUUAUUUUAACGAUUGAAUUAUAGGGAUGUCAUUUUCUAUAAUAUUAGGAAUACGACAAUGCUCCCACUAUCUUAUUUUCAAAUUUGAUAAAAUCAAACACUUUGACUUUUCCCAUCAAAUCGAAAAUUUCAGCUCCCUAGAGAUUUAUCUUAACCUUUAGUUACGAUAUGCAACUGUUACAAAUAAAACCCGAAUGGACUUCAGCAGGGCCACAGGAGAAAGAUUUCACCAAGGUCAACACUUAACCUUUGCUUCUAGCAUUGCUUUGUAUAUAUGGAUAUUCACAUCCACAUCGACAUUUCCCUUGUAAACUAUUUACGAAACCUUAUGGGUUUUAUUCCAUCAGGAGGCUCUACCAAGGUCCAAACCUUGUUCACAUACGUCGAGUUCAUCUCAAGUAUCAUGGCCUCUUGCUGUCUCUUUUAAGUCAACACUUGACUUUAUUUUGUUGCAACUAGUAGGUUCAUUAUCCUGGAUCACUAAUACCUGAUUAAUGAUCAUGGAUUUAUACUUUCUUGAAGGUCGAAUGAUCCUACUAAAUUCCCAAAGAGCUGUCAUGUCCUCAAGAGUCUUUACUUCCUGAUCCAAAAUAUGUCCCAUAUCAGAUAUGGGAUCAAACUCGAAUUUAUUUACUUGGUUAACUAUAUCUAUGGACUCUUGAACUCUUUCAAAUUCUAUUUUACUCCCACUGUCCUCUCCUAGAGUAAAUAUUUUCUCUAAGAAGACGAUAUAUCGUGAGAUGAAGACUUUCUUCAUGAUAAUAGAAUUAAUAUUCAAACGUCGGCUUUGAAUAUCCCACAAAUACGUAUUUAUCAAAUUUAGCGUCAGACUUAUCCGAUUCAGGGCGCUUCAAAUAAGCGUCAUGGUCCCAAGCUUGCAUAUAAGAUAAAUUGGGACUAUUGCCUUUCCAUAACUCGUAUGGAUUCUUGUCAACCAAUUUAGACGGGACAUGAUUUAGUGUGUUGUACACUACAAUCAAUGCACGACUCCAAAACAAUUUUUGGGAGAUUUACAUGGCUUGUUAUUAACCGCAUUAUAUCUAAUAAUUAACGAUUCCUCCUUUUAGAUACAACACCUUGCUGCAGUGUAUAUGAAGGAAUCCACUGCAAGAGAAUCUCAUUCACUCUUAGAUAAUCUAGAUUUUAUUUUUAAGAUAUUCUCACUUGAUCGAAUCUUAAUGUGAGGGUAUCUUUACCUAUUUGUUUUUCUAAUUCUAGUGUGAAUUCCUUAAACUUUUCAAGAGUUUCAUGUUUGAGUUUUCAUCAAGUAUACAUGAUCAUUGAUGAAAUAAGAGAAACAUUACCUGACAUUAAUUGACACAAGUCCAUAUGCAUCACCAUGCAUUAGACCAGUAAUUAUGCUGACUUUUCUUCUUUUCAAGUAAAAGAAGAUUUGAUCAUUGUGUUAGAUAUGCAUAAUUUGUACUUGUCAAAAUCAAUUAAUUCCAAGUAUACAUCUUUAUGUAACUUUGGAAUUACAUUUCAUCUAAAUGAUAAAGUCUGUCAUGCCAGAUUUGGGUAAUAAUUAGAUUAUCGCAUUUAUGUCUUAUAAUUUCUAUGCUCAUUAUAGAAUCCUUAGUAUUAAAGAAUAUAAACGUCGUUUUGUAAUUUACCAUAGCCAUUGGGAUCUUUAUCAAGAUAAAUAAGAACAAAAAUUGUCCUUAACAUUAAAAUUGUUCAUGUCCGAACAUUAAAUUCAUUUUAAUGUUCCAGCUAUAGUGAGUAUAAAGCGACAUUUCUCUAAUUCUAAUACUAAAACCAAAAGGCAAUGGCAAGAGCCAAGAAGUAUAUUCGUACAGGCAAUGCAGCAAACUUUGCUCCUCUCCAACGUGUAUGUCAACUUCUCCCUUUCGCAGUGGUCUACUUCUUUUUAGUUUCUCCAUAUUUGUAUAAAUAUGAGAUUUACAUCUGGUAUCAAAUACCUAAGUAACUCGUGAAGUAGAUGUAAGUCACGCAAUAUUCCUUCCAAUUGACCUUUCAUUCUAUAAUGAAACCAAGGGUCAUUAGAUUUGGUAUUGUCCUUCGCUUAGACUGUCUUAACCAUAUUGGACGCUUUCACAAAGCCCCUUUAGACUUCCUCUUAAUAUCUUUAGAGAAAUCAAUGACUUGCCCACUAUUAACUUUGAUGUUGGGCUUAACAGUCUUAAACAUGUUAAGCAACUCAAUAAUUGUGCAUUCGAAUUUAUUCACGUUAAAUUCAUAAUUAGUUGUGAAUAGCUUUUUUUGACAGAGAUUGCAGAACCAAGUCACUAUUUAGUUCAUGGUUUAUGAUUGAACUCAAUUGAGACAUUUCUCAACGCCAAUCAUUUUCGGUGUUUAAGCAUCGAUAGAAGAUUACGUUGUUAUAUUGCACCGGUAUAGUUGUUUGAAAGUCUCAUAUCCUUCCACACAUGAUUAUUAUCACACAACUCUUUUUAAUGAAGAAUUAUGUGUUAACAUCUAUACUCUCAAGUCGCUUUUGUAACUCAGUGAUAUAGUUGCUAGUAUCACAUGCGUGCAAUACUAUCUCAUCACUGUGUUUAUUAUAGUAGCCACAUUUUCCUUAGUUGAGUCAUCGUCAGGUGUCUCUAGAAAAUGGCUACUUAAGAACAACCAACUUUUCUCAUGCUUGAAAACAAUUCUCAAAUUGCAGUGCCAAUAAAAAAAAUAUAGUUUGGUUGUUGGCAUUUAGUAUGCCAUUCAAAACAUAUGGUUACUCACGAUUCAAUAUAAAUGUAAAUGACGAAAAGGAAAAGAAUAAUAUAUAAAAAAUGUAUCAAUUAAUUUACCAUGGACUUUUAUUAAAUUAAUUAUGCUUCCACUGUUUAAAUCAAAUUUAUGACCCUCUCACAUAAAUUUAUGGAGUCCAUACUCGACACCCAGUGGGUUGGGAUCUCAUCCGUUAUACUAAGACCUUGAGUGUACUCAACAAACCUUAAUGUAACAUUUGGAUAGAUACUAUUAUCAAUUGUAUCUCCAUACAACUCCCAGAUCAUUAAGUUGACAACUCCUUGUUUUCACACAUUUUAUGUAUUAGCUUAACCUGCCUCUAAAAUUUAUCUCCUUGAGUGUACUCAACAAAAGAUAAUUUUUAGUUAAGUCAAAUCCGUCAUUCAGAAAUAUCAAAUAUUUCAUAGUGUCAAACAUAUCCCUAAUGGACCAACCUUGAGUGUACUCAACAAGCUGAGACGAUUUGAGACUCUGAUUUUUCACUAUAAUGAUGAAAGGCGAUUACAAAUGUGACUUAAUAUUUUAUGGAGGGAUUUUGCAUUCAAAAGUCUCAUCAACAACAAUACAAUCAUAUAUAUAUUAUUAUACAUCUACCAUGCAAAUAAAUUAUAUAUAACAUAAUAUAAUAGUGUGGACAAUUAUGGACUUUACUAUCUAAUCUUCCCGAGCCAUAAGGAAGACUAGUUGGUCAAUUUCUAGGGGUAUUACACUGAUCAGUAUCAAUGCGCCAUCUCCAUGGUCUCCUCCUCUUCUUAUUUCUUCAAUUAGUCCAAUUGCAACAUGUAUCCUAUACUAGUUGGCACGCAGGCCUAAAAGAUAUUGGACUCGCGGCCCAAAAUAAUAACAAUAAUAACGGGCUCGCAAGCCCAAAACAAGUAAGAGCUCCCAGACCCAUAAAACGACAAGAAUAAAAUUAACCAUUCAAUACAUCCAUAUGGUCGAGUCCAUAAUUGUCCACUAAUAAUACAUUCAUCACAUAAAUGUAUACAUAUUUAAUAUCUAAUAUUAUAUGCAAAUUAGUUUCAAAUUUCUAGUAAUUAAGACGUCUAAACUCUUUUAGACAAAUGGAUCAGAAUAAUUAAAUAAUUAAUUAAUCAUAUUAAUCGAUUAUUUAAUUAGCAGGAAUAUUUAAUUAAAAUCAAAUUUUAAUUAAAUAACAAAUUAGAGUCCAACUCUAAUUCAACAAUUAUAUGGUGGGAUUAUUUAAUUAAAAUCAAAUCUUAAUUAAAUAUCAAAUUAGAGUCCAACUCUAAUUUCAAAAUGUAAGGCGGUUGAAUUUAAUUAAAAUCAAAUUUUAAUUAAAUAGCAAAAUUAGAGUCUAAUUCUAAUUCCAAUAUUUAGGGCGAAUUAAUUUAAUUAAAAUCAAAAUUUAAUUAAAUACCAAAUUAGAGUCCAACUCUAAUUUCAAGAUGAAAUUUAGGGGGAGAUAAUUUAAUUAAAAUCAAAUUUUAAUUAAAUGUCAAAUUAGAAUCGAAUUCUAAUUUCUAGAAUAUAUUCGGGGUGAAUAAUUAAUUAAAAUCAAAUUUUAAUUAAGUAUUAAAUUAAAGUCAAACUUUAAUUUAAAUUGAAUUAAUAUUUUUAUCUAAGAUAACACUCCUAAAUAAAAUAAAAUCCAAUAUAGGGUCAAAAUUUAAUAUUUAAGUUAAAAUCAUAUUUUAACGAAAAUAUAAAAGUCGUUAAAUUUUAAAUAAAAUUUUAACUUAGGUCAAAAUCAAAAUAUGGGUCAAACCCAAUUAAAAACAUAAUUUUAAAACCCAUUUAAAAUUUAAAUUCAAAACCCAUUUUGAAGUUGAAAUUUGACCCAAGUUAAUAUUUAUAGUCAAAGCCUCACAAUUUCGAGAUUUUUAGAACGGACCCUUCCAAUUUCACAAGUUAGAGAAAUAGGUCCUUAUUUGAAAUUCACAACUUAACCCUAAAAUUAAAUUGCAAGCAGGCCCUUCAAUUUAAAAUUAUAAAUAAGGCCUCACAAUUUCACAAAUUACAAGCAAGCCCGUUACAAUCAAAAUUGCAACAUUACCCCGAAUUGAAAUUACAUCCAGGGGCCUGAAAUUUCUAAAAUUUCAACCCAGGCCCAAUUCAUUUUUUUUCUUUUUUGUUUUUGUUGUUGGCCCCGGCCUCAUCGACCGGCGCCACAUUAAAGCCCCACGGUAGGAGUCCCUGGGCAGGAGCCACCUGAGCAGUGGCUCCUCUCGCUACAGCAGCGUUUUCAAGCUGCUGUGUAGGCAGCAGGUGUCUGCUGCCGCUCCGAGCAGCGGCGACAGUCGUCGCUGUUUCUUCCCGCUGGCAGUUGUCGAUUUUUGUUUUUUUUAUAUAUUAAACAAUUUCUAACAAAUUUUGAUCGUGAUAACAAAUAUUCUUAAUUGCUAGAAACUAGAACAUGAACAACAAUCAACUUUUGAUUGUACAAAGAUAUUAAACAAUUUCUAACAAACAAAAAGUAUGCUUUGAUAUCACUGUUGGGAAUCUACUUAUUCAUGCACAGCAGAAUUUAAAAUAAUUUUCGAUUCCCACCAAUAAUCGCCUUUGUGUUUAGAUAGAAAUUAUGAUAAGAUUGUACCUUUUCAGAUCUGCAAACUUCUUUACUAUUCUUUUCGUUCCAACAAUUUUGAUUCGUCAUCCACAGUUGUCCAAUUGUCCAGCCUCUAACGGUAAUUUACACAGAGAACAAGAUUGCAGCUACCAGGGUUUUCUCUCUUGUGCCAGCAAGAAUAAUGUAAAUCAUGUGGGCCUCAAACCCUAACCAUGUAUUUAUAUAAACCCAAAUAGGUUCGAUCUGGUCCGGUCCAAUAUUUAAUUAAUCCAUUUAAUUAAACCCGGUCCGUGAAUUAAUUAAUCUAAUUAAUUAAUUCGACAAUAUAAAUAACAAAUCCAAUUAAUUAAUUUAUCCAACGAUUAUUAAAUUAACCAAUUGGCAAUUUGAAAUCUUCCAAUUCUCUUUUGUGUGCGACCCAUUAGGUUCCCGACCACGAUAUCUAACGACGUGAAAUAUUAUUUUCAUCUAAUCAAAAUUGAUAAAUUAAAACACCCUUUUAAUUUAUCAUCAAUUCACAUUCGCCGUCCCUGAUUGACAUCUAGCAAUGUGUCAGGGCAAUACAUGUGACGGGAAAUGUCACGUGGUAUGACAAAACCAAAUUCGUUCGUUUACCGUGAAACUAUAAUCCCUUCGUCAAUAUGAUCCGAUCAAUUACGAGAUAUGGAAUUGUGUCAAUCCCGAAUUUCAAUCAUAUCUUUCACUCCACUAUUAAGUUAAUAUAAGUCGAAAACUCCUUUUCGACUUAUGAGUACACCUUGGCCAAAGAUUUCGUUAUCGACUUAAUUGAAUGAAACGCAGAUCAUAAUCUCCUACUAUCUAAGAGUGACGAAUCUUUUAUUGGUCAAUCAUAACCUUCAUACAAUUCUUGACGUACCAGAACGAUGUCGUAUUAGCGGUCCUUUGCAGAGCAACAUCAACACCGCCAAAGUAUGACUGUCCUCAUAUAAGGUACCAUGACGACCUCAAGUCUAAGGACCAAUUCCACUAUCGAACGUUAGAGAUUCACCACUGACACUCAGAUAGUUAUCCAUGUGGAAUCUCUCGACGGGUCUCCAAUGUUUUGUUAUAGAACAAAACAUCCACGUCUCAUUUAAGUGUCACCACACUUUAGCUUGUGAGAUCAACUACUUACUUCACAAGUAAGAAAUGCCACAUGUGAUGGUCUAUCCGUAAUAACGAUAUCUGUAUCUCGUUAUCACUUACGACCACAGACGAUUUAAGAUUCAAUUAGAUGUAAUUUGUAUCUCACAAUCACAACUCCUUGUGAUUAACAAAUUACGAAGAUUUGAAUCUACGGACUCUAUUAUUUAUUUAAUUGUCUAUUAAUUAAAUAAUAGAUCUGUCAUUUAAUUGCAUUAAUUAUAUAUAAAAGUAUUUAUGUCCAAAGUUGAUUGGAUCUAGGGCAUAAUACUUACACUAUCAACAUGAAGAAAAAGUUUGACAAGUAUUGUGGGAAAAUGGAAAAUGUUAAUCAGUUGUUGUUGAUUGCGAUUGUGCUUGAUCCACGAUACAAAUUGGCAUAUGUUGAUUUAUGUUUUGGUGAUAUUUAUGGUGAUAAGGAAGUUGCUUGUAAUAUGACAAAGAUUUUGAAAGACAAUUUGAUGUCUAUUUAUGAUUGGUAUGUGAGAUGUGAAACAAGAUCUGAAAGCAAUCAAAUAUCAAGUGACCUGAAUUCCUCAAGUGAGGUUUAUCCUGCAAAAGAAAGUCGAAUCUACGGACUCUAUUAUUUAUUUAAUUGUCUAUUAAUUAAAUAAUAGAUCUGUCAUUUAAUUGCAUUAAUUAUAUAUAAAAGUAUUUAUGUCCAAAGUUGAUUGGAUCUAGGGCAUAAUACUUACACUAUCAACAUGAAGAAAAAGUUUGACAAGUAUUGUGGGAAAAUGGAAAAUGUUAAUCAGUUGUUGUUGAUUGCGAUUGUGCUUGAUCCACGAUACAAAUUGGCAUAUGUUGAUUUAUGUUUUGGUGAUAUUUAUGGUGAUAAGGAAGUUGCUUGUAAUAUGACAAAGAUUUUGAAAGACAAUUUGAUGUCUAUUUAUGAUUGGUAUGUGAGAUGUGAAACAAGAUCUGAAAGCAAUCAAAUAUCAAGUGACCUGAAUUCCUCAAGUGAGGUUUAUCCUGCAAAAGAAAGUCCCACUUCAAGCGUGCUUCUUUCUCGUGUUUCUAGGUUUAAGAAAACACAAGUAGCAAAAGAUUUAGUUGAUUUGAAAAAUGAUGUGGAUAGAUACUUGUUAGAUGCUUGUGAAUAUAUCGAGGCCGGUGCUGUUGAUGUUUUUAAUUCAUGGAAAGUUAGUGGAAACAAAUAUGGUACAUUGUCAAAACUUGUAAGAGAUGUAAUGGCUAUUCAAGUGUAUAUGGUGGCUUCAGGAAGUGCUUUCAGUAUCCGAGGAAGAAUUCUUGAUCCAUUUCGUAGUUCUUUAAUUCCUAGGAUCGUAGAAGUUUUGGCGCGUACACAAAAUUGGAUAAAGUAGUCUACAAGUAUGGAGAAAUUCUAUAUGGAAGAUGUGGAGGGAUAUAAUAACUUGGAUAAGGGUAAUGUAGCUUUUUCAUAAAUUUUGUUAAAUAUGUAUUUUGUCAAAUUUAUUCCUAAUUUAAACAUUAUUUUUUGUAGAACUUUUGGAAUAAGAGAAAUCAAAUGAAGGCUAAAUCAAUGUGAUUAGUUCAUUUCUAAUUUUUUGAGGUAAUUUUUGUAUUCUAAUGUGCACAACUUUUUAUUAAUGUAAUAUUUAUCUUUUUCUCUAAGUAUUUCUAUUAUUUUUAUAGUAGCAAUGAUGCUUAAAACUUAUACGACAACUCAAAAGUCGUAACAUUUUACCUUAUUAUUUGUUUUAUGAGAGUUUUGAGUUUGGAUUACUGUAAUAUUUUUAAUUGCUGGAUAAUUGUAAUAUUUAAAUUUUCUUUUCAUGCUUGAUUGCUAUUUUGAUUGCAUUUAUUUUCAUUGAUAUUUUUUUAAUUAAAUUAAAUUACAUUGUUUCAGUUAAAUUUUUUUCUGAUACCAUGGUUUAUGAAAAUGACAAACUAUUAUCAGUUGGAAGAAAAAAUAUUAAGCUUUUUCUGAUUUUAUUUGAGACAUAUUAGGAUUCAUUUUGCAUUUUGAAACUAAUCAAAAAAAGAAAAAAUAUAUAAUAAUUGUUGAUCCGGCCGAAUAGGCCAAACUGAGUCAAGCCAGGCUGGGUCGAUUCGUGUUAUUGACUGAGUCGAUUCGAUUCAAGAAAUAGCUCAAAACUGGUAAAGUCGGGUUGGGUCAGAUUUGGAUAAAAACCAGCCCGGCCCGAUCCAUUGCCCACUCCUAAUAAUAGCCCUUUUGGGAAAAUGGUUGGAAAAUAUGUCAGGAUAAUACGGUUGAUUUUGUUCUAACAGCUUGAUGAAAUAGAGAUGGGAACCCUCCUGAUCAUUCUUUGAAACUGUUGGUGGUCAAUUUUCGAGGCCUCAAGCGCGAAUGAGUAUAUCGCCAACUCAUCCAGUUAAGGAUAAGUUUUGUUUGCCAGCUCAUAACCAGCAAUAAAGUUUACGAGUGCGCCGAUGCUUAUUGUUAGAAAAUAAGCUCUUCUACUAUUAGGCUUGAUUUCUUCAAAGUUAAAAGUAAGUAAAAAGUUACUUAUUGAAAGGUUAUUUUAAAUUUUAUAGUUGUUAGAUUGUUAAAUUAAAUUCAAUUUUAUUGAAAGGGUCAAGUAUAAUAAACUGGGAAAUUGAGUAAAAUGAAAGAAAAUUUAGUUUUAGUGAUUAAAAAGACUUUAAAAAUUGCUUAAAUGUAAAAUGAUUAAGUUUGGGUAUCGUCUAUUUAAUUAUUGAAAUUACUUAAAAUAAUUAAUUUUUGAUUUAAAAUUUAUAUCAUCUUUCAGGUAGCUAUACGGAUAUCGGGACAACUUACCAACCAAGUUGAUUUUGGCAUAUAUAGUUUUGUGAGUGGAAAAAUAUAAAUAUUUUUAAAGUAUUUAUAAAUUAAGCACAUUAGUAAAGUAUGUGCAAUUACGUGUUCGAUUUUAUGACUAUUACAGGAAUCUUUUUUUUAUUAUGAUAUAUGUGAAAUCUCAAAGAUUAUUUAAGGCACAUUUGUAACUUGGUAUGUAGAACGUGUGAUAUUGAGAUUUGUAUAGUAUGUGAGACACGUAAUAUUGAGUUCGGCAAAAAAAGUACCCAUAAUUAUAUACUUCUUCUAGUUCACAGGGGGGGCCUUAACCGUGUUUUAUCAUACAUGGAGGGGUCUUGACCUGACAUUGGUCUUAAUCAUAUACAUAUAGUUCACAAAGUGACACCUUGGCCGUGUUCUAAAAUUGAUUACUAGAGAUCUUUGAGAUCGACUUUCGUUCACGGAGAGGGCCAAAGGCUCCUGGCGAAAGUUCUUAACCCGAGAGAUAGAUUACAUAUUUUAGUCAAAUGGUACAUUUUUGGUGAAUUUUUCAGCACGUUUGAUGUGAUGAGAUUAUAGCAUGAUUAUUAGCUGAUGUUCAUAUCAUGAUUUUAAGAUGAUAUUUUAUGACCUUAUAUACAUAUUUCACUUUUUGGCUAUAAUUACAUGAUGUUAGCUUGUAAAUUAUCAAAUGAUAUAAAUUUGAUUUUCAAUAAAAAUGUAUAAAUGAAAAAGUAUAUUUAUUUUGAAUUUCUCCACUCACUGGGCUAUCAACUCAUAUAUUUUUUCACAUUUUUCCUUAUCAGGCAAUAGUUGAGUAUCUAUGCAUCUUUUGGAAUUGAACCUUUGGUUUUGGAGUCAGAGUCACACGACAGAGUUUGUUAGUAUGACUCACUUCAUAGAGCAUGUAGUCAGUAUUUUGAGACACAUGUUCUUAUCUAGAAGUUAUUUUGUAUCACUUGUAAAUUGUUAAGGGGCUCACUAUAUAUUUUGUAUUUACAUGCAAUUUAGAAGUGAUUUUGUAUCAAUUGUAAAUGGUUAAGGGGCUCACUAUGUAUUUUGUAUCUACAUGCAUAUUUCAUGUUAUUUUUGUUAAAAAUUGAGAUUUCGGCUUAUCUCUAUUGUGUUGUGUUAUAGUUUGGGAUUUGUGUGCAAUUAAUCACAGGUUGGUUAGUCUUAUCUAUAGGGGAGAUAAUGCCGAAAUUCUGUUAGAAAAAUGAUGUAUAAAAAGUGAUAUAUUGUACUUGUAGUAACUUUGAUGGUGGGUCCGACUUUUAGUUGGUAUCCGUCAUCGGCGCAUGUCACGUUCGGGUCCAGUAGCGUUAUACGGGGCAGGGUGUGUCACUUAUUGACAACCUUGCAAAGGAGAAUUUAGGCUUCUUGUCCCGUGAUACCAUCCAUCUACAUGUACUAAUCUCUAGUGUCAUCGACCUCCAAUAUUGAUGAACCAAUCAAUAUCAAAACUACGGCCUCAAGAGAAAUGCAAAUAUACGCUUAACAAAUGUGUAACUAGUUUUUGUAAAGUGAACUAAUUAAGAUGUACACAUGGAAUUUGCAAUGGAAAUAGUCAGAUUCUUUUUUGCUGAUAUUGUUUCAAAUUGAAUUUUUUUUUUUCAUAAUAUUGUGUCUUCAAUUUUGCAAAUAUAUGCUUGACAUAUUUUAAUGUUUUCUUCAUCAUUUCAAAUGUUAUCGACUUUUCAAGAAUAAAAAACAAAAGUUUGAUUCUUUUACUGCGUCUCAGUACAAAGGUUUGGUACAUUUGUUGUACCAACUACAAGACGUUUGGGGCAUGUACUGACCUUUAAUUCUGCAUCAAACAAACAGUAAAAUGUGUGAAAUGAAAAUCAGUAACAUUAAAAAUAAAUAAGGAGAUACUUUAUUUCCUGAAAAAGGCAACAAUACAACUUUCAUUACAUAACACCUAACACAAAAUCCCCCACACUAAAACCCUUUACCCAAAUUUUGAAGGUAAAGACCCCCCAACCCAAAACACAUUCUAUAGAUCUAGCAACAAAACUAUAUUACACAAACUCACACAUAUCCAAACAGCCAAAUCUUCCACACACUUGGUGUUGUUGAUUGGAGGGUGUUGAUUUCAGCUUCCAUCUCCUUCCUAGUCCAUAAAAAACCUAGGAAUCAGCUUCUUGGAUCUCUUACACAUUGGAAGGUCACACCACACAAAGAAGGUGCAUCCACCCAAAUCUUGACUUCGUGGACAAGUGAGAAAUCUUCUUCUUAGGUUUAGGUUCUUCUAGGAGGUCUUCAUCUUCACUGGAUAACCACAUCUAUAUGCAUUCAUCUCCAUCUAUGAGCUGAUUUUUUUUUAUUUUUUUUUUAUUUUUUUUUAUAGUAAAUGUAGGAGGGAGAGACAUUAAUAGUGAAUGAAAAUGAGGGAAAUAAACAAUGAAGUGCAAUAAUAGAAGGGAAAAUGUGAUCUGACUAAAAUGUCAUUGCCUUAGUUGGUCAAAAUUAUCAAUUUUCCAAUUUUUUAUGUCAACUGAUGGCUUAAUUGAAGGAUUUUGUUAGAUUGAACUCCAAGUGCGAAUUUUUGAAAUAUUUGUAGUGCGCGUAGUACAAAUGAAAGGUUUUGGUCAAACAUGUGAUUAAAUAAAAGAUUUGUGAUCCUUUUGAUUUCCAGCAAGUGUAUGGUAUUGUAAACAAGUAAUAAAGUGAUGAAUAAAAUAUUGUUUCCCCAAGUUCUAUGUACUUGAUCUAGUGUCAAUUAAUUCUAACAUUAAUUGAUUAGCCAAGUGUUUUUGAAGAAUUUAUAGUAAUUAAUCUAAUUAAACUAUGUAUUUUAGUGAGCAUGAGCUUUGUUAAUUUAGAUGAGAAGGUUACUAAAAACUCAAAUCCACUUUAUUAACCCGUUUCAAUACAAUGAUAAUAUUUGUACAUUUUUGUUGAUCAAUGCUCCUAAGUUGAUUAAGAACAUCUUGCGAUGUUGAUUAAAUCUAUCUCUCAUGGGACAUUCCUAUAUCUCUAUGAAAGAUGCCAACAUAAAAGCAUACAUUAAAAACAUUAGAGCAUCUAUAGAAAUCAUGAAAGCAUAGUAGUGAGUAUAAAGUGCUAUAUAUCCUAUUGUUUAUCUCGAAAUCAAUAAAAUUUAGAAUCAAUCCAAUUAGUGAUCAUGUAACUUAAAUGUCGUUAAAUUCUAUAAUAAUCAUUCAAGAAUAAAUACAUAUUGGGCAUCAAAUUUAUAUUAAAACAUCAUAAAAGGUUCAUCAAUGUCUUAGUAAUUACAAAACCUAGCCUAGCUUUAUAAAAUCAUUAAAAAAACAUGUUUAAUUGGAAGAACAUAACUCGAAUUUUAGAUUGAUGAAGGAGAAAGAUGAUGGCUAUUGAAAUUUUGAAUCUUUUCAUUGGUUUUUUUGAUGAAUCUUCAAUAUAUCUUCUUGUUGUCUACCCCAAAAUUAAGGUUGAAACUCAAAUUUCUUGAAAACUUCUAAUUGCCCUUUAAUUCUCGCAAGAACACUGAAUUGGUCUUUCUUUGGUGAUGUCAAUUGACAAAUUUAGUGUAUGAAAGGUUUGUGAGAUGUUCCCCUAAUGUUUUCUGUUGUUAGGUAUUUAUAUGAGUUGAAAAUCACGUCCAAAUUGAUUUUCGAAAGAAUUUCCAAUAGAAUAAGGAAAGUUGUCUUAGCGAGCACAUAUUUUUAUGUCAGCACAGUCAUCAGUAUUUUUAUUAUGACUUUCUCUUUGGAUAUCUGAUUGAAAAAAAUUCUAAGUGUAUUGGAAAACUAACUCAAAUGUCUACAACUUUACUAGAAAUAGAUUUUUUUUUUCUCAAUUCAAUUGUUUAUAUGUAAAAAAAUAAGUCUCAAUUUUGGGCUAAAAAUUUGGAAAAUAACUUGCUCGAUUGAAAAUUGAUACGUGAAAAAUACUUUGAUUAUAUUUUCAUUCCUUUUUUUACUUCUAAUUGUAUAUUCAAUUGACUCCUAGUAAUAUUCAAUUAUCAUUUGGUAGUUCGAAUAAACUUUUAAAUAUCUACAAUUUGGUCCUCAAACUUUAGACUGCUAUUUUUCAUUGUUUUUCGUUGAUUUAUUCUAAUUUUUCGUCUAAUCAUCUAAUUUUUUUUAAUAAACGAAAUAUACACAAUAUUACAGUGGGUGCUAUUUCCAUCAACAUUUUUUAUAAGUACAUCACACUCUAAGUUCAUCCCUAAUAAAAUUUUAAAAAUUUUAAAAAAAUACUAUUUACAUCAAUGUCAUAUUCAAAUCUUGUCCUUAUUAAAUUCAUUCAUUUAAAUACUAUAUAUCCACAUGAAUUUAAUAUAUUCAUCCCACUUUAAAUACAUCCCUAUCACUAUAGAUUUGUCCAAUCCCUAAAACCAUAAACUUUUAAACCAAAUGAAUGAAUAAGAAUGAAACUGAGCUGAUUGAACAUUAAAUUAAUAGCUGUUGAAGUUUUGAAUAUUAUAAUACUUCAAACAACAAAGGCUAAAGAGAGAAAGAAGAAGAAAGUUCGAUUAAGCAAACCGAAUUUUACUAACUUUGUUGGCUAUGAUUAUUCUUCUUUCUUGAUUAACUGAUGAAACUGUAUCAGAUUCCAUUUUGCAUUCUUGAAAUCCGAUAUGAUUCUCGACACAGAAAUCACAUUUAGGGCCACCAUGACCUAUAAUUAUAUUCAUGUAUUUUUCUCCAUCUAUUAGGAUUCUAGUUAAGCACAAAUGAAAAUAAAAACUAGUGGAUCAAUUUAGAACUUUCAAUUUAGAACUAUGUAUUUUAUUUAAUUUUGUUUAUGUCUAUUUAAGUAAAUUAACACACACACACACACACACACACAGAAAUGGUAUCGCUAUUUCCAUCCACACAUUAUAUAUAUGUGCGUCUCUCUCUCUCUCUCAAUUAGGUGUAAUGCGUACCUUCAAACUUGAGUCCUCAUAUGGGUAUUAGCCCAAAACCUCCUAAUUUCUACAGCCAAUUUCAGUCAACGCACAGUAAAAAUCAGCUGCAGCGUAAGAAAUGGGCCCAGAAAAACCCAUGUGGAGAGCAAAGGUAUUCUCCACGGAGGCAAUUCAAGCAGUACGGUCACUAAAAUUGGCACAAAAAUCCCCAUCCAGAUUAGAACAAGUUUUUAGCAAUAAACAAAAUAGGCUUUUGAAGGCUGAUUUAUUAGAUGUGUUGGCUGAGUUACAGAGGCUGAAUGAAUUGGAUUCAACCCUUAAGGUAUUGUUUAAACUUUAAAGACUGCCCCUUUAAACAUUGAUGUGAAGCAAACCCACCUACAAAUCAACCAAAACAAUCAAUUAGUGUAAGGAUUUGCAAAGUAAAAUGAAGAAAAUCAAGACCCAAAAAUCUGAAAGUUACAAAGAAAGGCAAAGGAGGAUUUGAUUUGCACUAAGCAGAGGAGGUUUUCUUACGUUUUUGAGGUGUAGUAAAAUGAAGAGAAAGGUCUCCUAUUUAUAGGCUCAUAGGGGAGAAUGGAUUUCCCAGAAGUCUUGCAAGAUCAGAUUGAAUAAAAAUUGCAAGAUUAUAUCCAAACUGAAAGAUAGAGCUCAUCCAACAAAAACGAGAUAAAAUUGGUUUGACAAAGAUAACGAUAAUAUUUAUCUAUCUUUCAUGUGAUUUUCAAAUGGGCAAAUUAGGCCCACUACCGUCUAAAUAUCACAAAUUAGAAUAAUACCCCUAAAACUAAUUAAAAUUCUUGUACCACCGUAAUUAAUAUGCUAAAAAUCCCCAGAAGCAGUGGAGAAGUUGAAAAUGUAUUCUAGAAUUUCAAUACCAAUUGAGAUCUCAAAAUCUCAUUAUCAGAAGUCUGAAAUUUUGAUGAAGCACAUAAUGUCAGAGUUAGACACCGACAAGAGGGAAGAAGAAGCAUUAGCGCUUUUAAUUAUUUUCUGAGUUACAUUUUCAUUCAUACAGGUUUUUUUCUUGAAUUUUUUAUUUUUUCUGAAAUUUUUAUGCUUAUAUUUAUGUGUUUGUAUAUGUAUAGACUUUAUCCAUUUGCUAAGAAGGAUUGGUAUGAUAUCAAAGCAUUGUCAAUUUUCUACUCGUACUAGGGGGAAUAUUUAUCUCUUUAAAUUAUAUUCGUUUUGAUGGAGAAAUGAUAUUUGACACUUGUUGAAGCAAAUUGAUUGAUGAAUUGGUUUAUCCAUUGAAACCUAUGUACAUCUAGAAAGUAGUAAUUUUUCCCUCAACAAGCGAUCUAGUUGUCUGCUGUGCAGAGGGUGUAACAAAUGUUUUUUUUUUUUUUUUUAAAGGUUUCAUCUGUUGUAUUUUCCAUCAAAAGUUACUAGUACACUGUUUCAUUUGGAUAUUGUUUCCUCUCCUACUAUUUUUUUGUCCCUCCUAAAUAAUUAAGGAUCCUGAAACUAUGGAUUUGGCAUCAAGAUGUUAGUUUAUUGCUUAGCUAAGAUUCUUCUAGUUUGUAGUUAUCAAACUUUGAGUUCAUUGCACAAAAGAAGUUAUGAUGUCACUUUCUCGAGGUGUUAUGGCAUUUGAGUUUUGUGUAUUUAGAGAUGGGUAAUUGGCACAAAACGUCCUUACCUUUCAAGUCUAUUGUGGAAAACGUCCCUACCUUUUAAGUCUAUUGUGGAAAACGUCCCUACCUUUCAUUUUUUGACAUUUUUGCCCUCAUUUCAACCUUUCUUUGAAUUGGGCGUCCUUCCGUCCAUAUUCCGUCAGUUUUUCCGUUAAUUAAAGGGUAAUUGGCACAAAACGUCCCUACCUUUUAAGUCUAUUGUGGAAAACGUCCCUACCUUUCAUUUUUUUUGCAUUUUUGCCCUCAUUUCAACCUUUGCGUUGGACAUCCUUCCGUCCAUAUUCCGUCAGUUUUUCCGUUAAUUAAAUACAAAAAUACCUUUUUCUUUCCAUAAACAAGGGUAAAAUUGUCCUCACCCACUUCACACCUUCUUCUCGCCAUCAACUUAGUCCAUAAAUAACAGUAGCAGCAACAUGAAUCUGAAAAUACUUUAAAUGAUUAAGUUAAAUAAAGAAAAAAUAUCGUGAACACAUUAUAUUUCACAAUUCCACAACUACUGUUGCUGUCAUCUUGUGUCACUGGAAAAUUUUAGAAAGACGUAUUAAAUGGGUAGUCAAUUUAUAAUAAGCCAAAAUGAUGAAUGGCUCUUUUUGGCUUAAUGGAGAAGAUGAAUGGCUCAUUUUAAAUUGACUCAUUAUAAAUUGACUACCCAUUUAAUACGUCUUUCUAAAUUUUUUCAGUGACACAAGAUGACAGCAACAGUAGUUAUGGAAUUGUGAAAUAUAAUGUGUUCACGAUAUUUUUUCUUUAUUUAACUUAAUCAUUUAAAGUAUUUGCAGAUUCAUGUUGCUGUUACUGUUACAUAUGGACUAAGUUGAUGGCGGGAAAAAGGGGUGAAGUGGGUGAGGACAAUUUUACCCUUGUUUAUCGAAAGAAAAAGGUAUUUUUGUAUUUAAUUAACGAAAAAACUGACGGAAUAUGGACAGAAGGACGUCCAGUGCAAAGAAAGGUUGAAAUGAGGGCAAAAAUGUCAAAAAAUAAAAGGUAGGGACGUUUUCCACAAUAGACUUGAAAGGUAGGGACGUUUUGUGCCAAUUACCCGAAUGUUUAACGGAAAAACUGAUGGAAUAUGGACGGAAGGACGUCCAGCGCAAAGAAAGGUUGAAAUGAGGGCAAAAAUACCAAAAAAUGAAAGGUAGGGACGUUUUCCACAAUAGACUUGAAAGGUAGGGGCGUUUUGUGCCAAUUACCCUUUAGAGAUUCGUUACACAGUAUAAAUUAGUAAGAUGUGGCUUGUCGACUAACUGACUUAAAAUGUUUGCGAUGAAUGGAGAAAAAGGAGGGAAGGUGAUUGUGUCACUUUUUUUGGUCACUUUAUUGAAUCAGUGUUUUGCCAAAUCUGAAACAGAAUAUUCAAAUUCAGCUAAGGAUGAAUUAUGAAUUUACAUAAAAUGAUAUAUUUUAUUGAAUCAGUGUUUUGUUGCUUUUUGAGGGUUUGUCCCCCUUUUUUGAAUUUACAUUAGUUUUAUGAGUGUUUAUCACUUUUUUGAAUAGUGUGUCACUUUCAUAGUGAUGAAUGUUUAUGAAAAUUUGACACUUACAUCUUAGUUUAGUCAUCAAUUUUUGUUAGUUGCGAGCUUAUUGGAAACAUGGUUGUAUUUAAAAUUUUGGAUUAUGAUUAUAUUGUUCAAGUUGUUAAUUCAAAAGUUUUUAAUUUGUUCAUCAGUUGUAAAUUUAUUGGAUAAUUUGGCUAUAUUGAAAAUCGUGGGUCAUGAUUUGUCACUUUUUUUCAGUUACUUUUUUGAAUUUGUCACUUUUUUUUCAAAUUUCGUUACUUUUUGAGUGUUUGUCACUUUUUUUAAUGUGUAAUUUUUUUUAAUUUAUGUCUUUUUUUUUGAAUUCGCCACUUUUUUAAAACCUUUGUCACUUUUUUGAAUUUUAGUCAUUUUUUUUUGAAUUUUUAUCACUUUUUUUAAGUGAAAAUGUUGUAAUGUGAAAUGGUGACCGGUGGAAAAUUAUAUGAAAUGUUGGGCGAACGAAAUGGAUGGUGUUAUUUUGGUGUUUGUCAAUUUUUUUUUUACUACUAUUAAAUUUUGUCGCUUUUUUUUGAGUUUGUCACUUUUUUUAAAUUGUGUUAAAAAAAAAAAAUUGACAACUUUUAUUAAAAAAAGGGGAUAUUAUGUCACUUUUAAAUUUACAUGGUACUUUUUACUUCCAAAAAACAUUUUUUUUUAUUUUGUCAUUUUUUGAGUUUGUCAUCUUUUAUGUUUUUUGUCACUUUUUUGAAUAUUCAUCACCUUCUUAUCUUAUUAAAAAUGUGACAUGAUAUGUUAUAUUUUCCUAACAUAAUUAGCAUGUAGAUUAUCCUGGACAUGCUGAUUAUGUUAAGAACGUGAUUACUAAUGUUGCAUAAAUGGAUGGUGUUAUUUUGAUGUUUGUCACUUUUUUUAGUUUAUGUAACUUUUUUUCUUUAUUUUUUUUUCUGGUAUUUUGUCAUUUUUAGAGUUUUUCUAUCACAAUUUUGUCACUUUUUUUUGAGUUUGUGUUACUUUUUUAAAUUGUGUUAAAAAAAAGUGACAAUUUUUAUAAAAAAAAGUGGCACUUUGUCACUUUUUUAUUUUACACAUUAUUUUUUACUUUCAAAAAAUUUUUCAUAUGAUUUUUCAAAACACCCAUAAUUUUAAGGCUACUUUUCAAAUUCCCUCUAAGUUGGGUAUUUAGCAUAUAGCUCAAUGGUCUGAUUACCUCUAAAUACCCAACAUAAUUAGGUUACUUCAAUUGUGGUGUGGAUUUAAUUUUUCGAUCCUGGGCUUAUAGCCUAUGAAGUUAAAAUGGGCCUUGAUUUUUUAUCAUAACCUAGGGGAUUUGGGCAUCACUUACCAAACAUGCCCAACAAUUGAUUUUUUUAUUUUUUUUUGCACUUUUUUGACUUUAUGUUAUUUAGUUCAGCUUGAAAAAUUGACUUUUAAGAUUUAUCGUGUAAUUUCUGGUUUCAUCUCAAAGGAACUCACUCGAGUAAAAUCUUCAUUAAUCAAUAGUUGAGUUAUACAUUUUCAUCAAGUCCUGAAUUUUCAUAAGAUCAUAUCCUUGUUAUGAGCUGGAUGAUGCCGCUUCGUUUUUUCUUUACAUUUUUUAAUAAUAUCCAUUCUACUAAUUUUUUGCUGAUCUUCCCAUUCAAGCAGUUUGUUUUUGGUCUAUAGUAUUCAAGGUCAGGGGCUGAGGGAGCCUAGGCCUACCCCAAGCCAAUUUAGUGUUUUAGAUAAAAAUAAAUAAAUAAAAUAAACUGAGUGUAGGCUGUCUCGGAUGCUGUGUUGAACUCCGGCAAGUUGUAAAGAGCGAGUGCGACUGGCUUUGAAGCCGAGAGCCCCAUAUCUCUGAGUCCUUAUUUUGGCACUGUUCUAAAAGGCAAUAAUUGGCAGCGCCUAGGAGUCGCUAAUGCGCGAUGCACGGUAGAAACACAAAGCUAAGUGGCUUGACGCCUUAUUCAGCAAUUGUUGACUACUAAUGUGGGCCUAGGCAUGGUUAUGCGCACCUAGGCGGGCAUAAAUAUCAUUUUUUAAUUAUUUUUUUAUUUUUAUUUUACAAUUCAUCUAAGUUAAAAUUUAAAUGUUGAUUUUUUCACUUCGUCAGUUCUAAAAUUCAAAAUAGUUGUUUGAAGCCUUGAACAAAGGAAAUUUCUCAAAAAUUCUUAUUUAUUUACUAUUUAAUAUUUACAUUUGAAACUUACCUUUUUGUUGAAAACUUUGAAAAAAUGUAUAAAUUUCCUAUAAAUUUAUUUUAGGUGUUUGAUAGGUAUUAUCUUUAAUUAUUAAACAAUUUUUUCAUUGAUUAAAAAUUAAAAUAAGAAAAAGCCUUACACUUUUUUACACCUAUGCUCCGCGUAAGUUCACCUAGCCCUUAGCUUGGCCUUCAUGUGAUAUUCUUGGAUCUUUUACAUUUUAACAAGUUUAAUCGAAACAAUUCAUAGGCCCAACACGUGUUUUGGCCAAUCCGUGUAUAACCCAAUAAAAUAUCCAAUCCGGAUUCAUAAAAGGAAUGGAUUCUCAAGGUUUAAGGAUGGGAGUAAUACAUACUUCCUACACAAGAACUACAUUUCAAAACUAACAAACUUAUCAAAUUAUUUCAAAAUUCAGGUGUUAAUUUCAAUUAAUAAUAUAUAAUUAAUUGGAAUUAGUUAUCCCACCCAAAUAAUAGUAUCUCCCACCUACCCCCACCAAAUUAAUAAUAUCCCACCCCACUUGUAAGAAUUUCAAAAAUUGAAAAUUAACGAUAACUCUUCAAUUGUCAGCAACAACAUAUGUUAGAAUUCAAUGAUGGGAUUUAGGAUUCAAUUAAGAAAUUAAGAUUUUGAAGGAAGAUCACUUAUGGGUUGGAAAAAGAUGAUUGCUUCAAAUAAGACAAGAAAAUCAAUUGUUUGAAAUGAUCUCAAAAAAUAAUGAAAACAACAUUUUCUUAUUUUUUAAUCACAUAUUUCACAUCAAUACACGAUUCAAAAAUGUAUUUUACCCCAAAAUAGGGCUCAAACAAGGGCUAACUAUGAUCAAAUUUAUCUUCAGUGUGACUGUCUGUGAUCAAGUAUGUAUAAUUUGUGAUUGUAUGUAAUCAAAUCACUAAACUAGCGUUAUCCGUGAUUAAUUGUGAUCAAGUUCAUCUUCGUUGUGACUGUUUGUGACCAGGCUAAUCUCAACUAUGAUGGUAUGCGACCAAAUUGCAACUGAUCACAAUUAACAUAGAAUUGGACACAAUUGGUAACAAUUAAUACAAACUUGGUUACAGAGGGUCACCACGAAUAAAUUCGUACACACCGCAAACCAACAUUACAAUAGAUACAAUCACAACUGGUCACAAUGAAUAUAGAUUUAGUCACAACUGGUCACAAUUAAUACAUACUUGGUUACAACCGAUCAACACAAAUAAAUCUGCACAUCACAUAUCAGCACAACAAUCCAUCACCACCGCAUCCCGGAACAACAAGCCAGUUGAUAGAUUGAACAACGAACUCCCACCACCACCUUCUUCAACGUACCGUCAUCACUACCAUCGGUAUUGUACCACCAUCGCCACUACCUGCAAGCAUCACCAACACAUGCACCACAAUACACCACCACCCCCUCUAAUAAUCACUAAGAAAAUCAUCCUUUCAUUAUUGAAGAAUUAUAGAGAGAGAAUAUACAAUACUCGUUGGACAAAAAAUCAUCCUUUCACAAUUUUUAUUCGCUUUGUAAUCCCCAGAAGGUAGAUCAAACCACCUAGAUCACAUAGUGCUAACACCACUUGCACCACCGUACUGCCGCCACCACCUACACUAACAACACCACACAUAGUCGAACCACCCAAAUUGCACAAUGCCAUCACAACCCAACAUCAUGCUUGAUAAUGUUGUUCCAUGGAGAUAAACACCUUGAGGAGGCAAGUUGGCCGGUGGGAGGUCAAUACGAUGGUGGGGCCUAUUGGCUGGGGUGGUGAAUCUAGAGUUUUCACCUAAGGUCGCUACCAAUUUGACCAUUUUUUGUUAGGGAUAUGCGGUGGCAUGAAGUUGGCAGGAUAAUGGGCCAAUCGGGGGAGCAAGUUCACAGUAGAUUAAGGCCGUGGGUUGUGGUUGGGAUAUGUGAUCAGUGGUUCUUCCAUGUCUUGCUUUUCUCUCAAAGCAGCAGCUGCAAUUCAUUUGCUUGCAAUUAGAAAGAGAAAAAAGCCUGUAUAAUGGAAGUUAUUUAAGUUGGUAUGGUGGGGUGGGGUAACCCAUUUGCAAAUGUUUAAAAGAGAGGGUGGGUGGUUGCAUAAUAUGUAUUUUAUGAUUUCAAAUUAAAAAGUAAAUAUAACCUGAUUUUUGAAAGAAAACGAUUUGUACAUGAAUUUUAAAAUUGAAAAUUAAAAGGUAGGGGUUAAACCCUUAAAAUUGUCGACCUCUCCACCCUUUUCACAGAUUUCAGGGUUCCAAAAUCCAUUCUUUUAUUAAUACUAUCUUUGGUUUAUUUUACUUUUUGCUGUUGGAACCUAAUUGAGUAUAAAAAGGUAAUUUGUUUUCUUUAUCCUAUUAUCUUUUGUUCUAAGAAUUUCAAUUUCCCUUUUUUUUUUUCUUGUUAGAUUAUUCCGAUGAAAUCAGCAUUUUAGAUUAUAAGUUAAAUUACUAUGUUAUUCCUUCAAAUAUAAUUCACAAUAACUUCGGCAGAUAAUAAAUGUGUAUGCACAGUACAUAUACAGGAAAUUAUUGUUUGAUUGUUCUCCAACUUCUCUUUCAAUUCUAGUCUUCUGCUAUUGAAAACAGUCGGUUUUAUGUUAUUAGAAGAAAGAUGAAGGUGAAGAAGCAGAAGAGACAUCGCAGUGCCUUUAAAUUUUACACAGCUUGCUUCAGGUUUUAGAGAGCCUUUCAAAGUUCUUUGUGAUGGAACUUUUGUGUACCAUUUUCCGGCGAACCACAUCACUCCAGCUGAUACUGCUCUAGCUAAUAUCCUUGGCGCCACAGUCAAAAUCUUUACUACGAGGUUAAGAAAUUUGACGUAGCAAUGUUCCCCAUUUAUUCAAAUUUAUUACAUUGUGACGCCGAGUAGGAUAGUGAUUAUCCUAUUGACUUGUUGUAGCAGAUGAUUCGCAAGAAAGAAACGAAAGGAAACGCCCAUCAAUCAGAGAAAAUACUUUGAAAUCAACUCAAUAUUAUUAAUAAUGUAGAAUAACCAAAAUUAACCCACAAACCGGGUUAAAUAGCUGCAAAAUACGAAAUUAUAAUAAAAUUACCAAAAAUGAAAAAAUCCCGAAAUUAUACCAGAAUAAAAUAUUAAGUAAAAGAAGUAGGUUGCCAAAAAUUUGGCUCAAUUCGAGUUUUCUAACAUAUGGAAAAAGGAAACAAAAUAUUACCAUAAAUAGCAAAAAAUAACUAAAAAUUGAAUUUUGGAAAGGAAAACAGUGGAUUUGGGUUCGAAAUUGAUGCCCACCGAGCAUAGCUCGGUGACCACGACGUCCGCACCAAAGAGAGCUUUCCGGAUUGGGUCAUAAUAGUGAUUCUAAUAACCGUAGCCAAAGUUAUGGUCAAAUUACCAAAAACGUGUUAAAUUCCCUCAAUUAAGGAAAUAAUUGCGAUUCACUUCCCAUCUUUGCUAGAUCCGCCAUCUCAUGGUAUCUCAGCGCCGUCAUCGUGUUAUCUGACAAAUCAGCAUUGCUCGACUCGGAUCCUCCUGCAUCACAUUGUUUGCGUCGCAUCUUAUGUACUUAGAAGGUUAAGUUUAUUUCCCUCUUUAGCAAACACUUUAUUUGUUAAUUCAAUAAAUUUUCAACUUUUUGGUCACUUAUUUGUUCUUGCAGAAUUGAAAAGCCUUGGUGAUUAGUAGUCUGAUUCGCUUAAUGCUUUGCCUAAUCUUAUAACUGCAAGGUCAGCAAUCUUUUCUUUCCGUCUCUCAAUCUUCUGUUAUUGAUAUGAUGGUCGAUGAAUGUUUUUUAUCCGAUACUUCUAUGAUAGCAGUCUUUGUCAAACAAAUACAGACCUGAUCCUUUCUAUGCAUGGAAUCUGUUCCAUAGAUGUGAUCAUGACGAGGAAGAGUGUCGUGGCCUGCAUAACGGAAGUUAUAGGAGAAAAUAACACUGAGCAUUUCUUUGUUACAACUCAGGAUCAGGGUCGGUCCUGUGAUUGUCAGGGCUCGAGGCGAAGUUUCUAAAUUAGGCCCUCAAAAAAGAUUUGAUCUUGUUAGCCAUUGUUUGCUGAUUGUGGCGAAGAACAAAGAAGAGGAGAAGACGGGCACGAAAGAGAAGGAAGAAGAGAAAAAGCCCAAUUACCAAAAAAAAAAAAAAAUGAUGUUCCUUUUACAUCAUUUCACACCCAAAAAAUAAAAAAAAUAAAUAAAAAUUGGGCCAAAUAAGGCCCCUUCAGUUUUGGGCUUGAGGCAAUGGCCUCAUUGGCUUCUGCACAAGACCGGGCUUGCUCAGGAUGCUGUGUUAAGGAGGAAGUUGCAAGAGGUUUCUACAGCUUUUUACCUUCUAAUAUAUGUUACUUAUGCUUAAUACUAUUUGUAUUUUGAUGGUUCAAAGAUCAUAGUUCUCUAAGAGAUCGGGGUUCUGUGUGUGUGUGUUCAAGUUUAAGUUAUUAUCAGAUUGAUGUAAUGUAACCCAUAUGAACGUACAUACAUCAGUACCUCUUUUAAUUUUAAACAACUCAUGGUGGCAGAUGCCUGGUGUGCCCGUUGUAUAUGCUCUUAGAAAUUCUCUUUUUCUUGAGCGGCCAUCAGGAGUUCAACACCAGUUUGCCAAGAUUGCUGAAGAAGAACGAUCACAAUGAGUUUGGUCAAUUGAUUUGAGAGUUUUGUCAAUUAAUGGUGAAUGAAUUUGUACGAAAAUUGAUCUUAGUGUCAUGAGGAAUCUUUCAACAAAACUCAUUUAAUUAAUAAAAGGUUCCACUUUCCGUUCACAAAAAAAGAUUGCAAAAAAGUGGAAUUAUACAAGCACAUAAAAUUGAUAUAAGCACAAAUAAUUUCAGUUUUGUUAAUAUAAUAAUGAUUGUUUAAUUGUAAACUGAAUAUUUGUGUUUUGUUAUUAUAUAUUGCCUAUUUAAUUAAAAAAAUCAAUUAGGGUUUUGCAGAUUAUGAAAUGAUUUUUUCAUCCAAAAUGAAAGUUCGUACCUAAUUCUAGUUCUAGUGGUGUAUCUAGUUCUUCUAGUUCUAAUUCGUACGGUUUUUUUAAUAUUAUUUAAUUAAAUAUUAAUAAACAAUCUCGCUAUCAUGGACGUUGGCUAUCGAUAGUAAGCUUUGAACGCUCGCGAUCAGCUCUAGCCAAACUCGACCCCCCUAGAUUCNNNNNNNNNNNNNNNNNNNNNNNNNNNNNNNNNNNNNNNNNNNNNNNNNNNNNNNNNNNNNNNNNNNNNNNNNNNNNNNNNNNNNNNNNNNNNNNNNNNNNNNNNNNNNNNNNNGUCCGCUUACUUUUGCUUGAACUAUAGUAUAUGGUAGAACAAAUCUACUGUGAAAGGACUUCUAUAAUAGCCUCACCCAAUUUUCUAUUUGCAUAUCUUAGAACGCCUAGUUAUACAUGUCUCUAAUAAUUGAUAGUGUGUUUUAUGGACAAUAAUGUAACGACCCGGCCCCUAUGCAAAAGCCGUUAACUUACAUAUUAUCCACUUUGGGAGAGCCAAGCUAGAGCUAACAGUACGUAAGUUAACGACUUGAGCAUAGGAGUUGGGUCGUUACAAAGAAGCUGUAUAAAAGUGUAACUAAACAAAAGAGUAAGAUUGCUUGUGCUUCAUAAGGCACUCUGAGUUCAUUUUGUUGGGAAUCUACUUAUACAUGCACAGCGGAAUUUAAAAUAUAUUUCGAUUCCCAUCCAAUAGAUCUCAUUGUGUUUGGUUAGGAAUUGUCAUAGGAUUGUACCUUUUCCAGAUCUGCAAUCCUUUUGCUUUUCUUUUCGUUCCACAACUUUGAUUCGCCACCACAGCUGUCCAAUUGUCCAGCCUCCAACGGUGAUCCACACAGAGAAUUUGAUUGCAGCCUCUAGGGUUUUCUCUUGUGCUAGCAAGAAUAAUGAAAACCUUAAUGGACCUCAAACCCUAGUUAUGUAUUUAUAUAAACCCAAAUAGGCUCGGCCCGGUCCGGCCCAAUAAUUAAUUAAUCCAAUUAAUUAAACCCGGUCCGUGAAUUAAUUCUACAAGAUCUUUGCAUAUCCCACUGUCGUGUUGGGGUGCAUGUGCACGCACAUUGGUGUUGGAGGGGAAGGGGGUUUCUAGUGGCAUACAAGCUGAUCAGUAAUCAUUUCUUGUUCUGUAAUUUUUUUAUUUUUUUUUUGCUAGUGAGACUAUGAUUUUGAUUGCUAGAAAGAAAGACAGUCGAUAACACUGAGAAACGGGAGUAGAAAACGCAAGAGAUCAAAGAAAAGCAAAAAUGUCACCGAGGCAACUGUUUAAUGGCAUAUGGAAUGUCUAAUCCUCAGAAUUUCUGAUUUUUCCUGGAGCUUGUUAGCUAUUUAAGUCCAAAAUUUAUGGACACGUGAUAGGGCUGCAUUAUAUGCGAGUCAAAAGUCCACUUGUAUUAGAUAUUUGAGCGAUACUUGGCAUACAUGCAUACACUUGCUAAUACAAAAAGACAUUGAUCUUCUAUCACUUGCUAAGUUGCUAAGUUAAGAGCCUCUUUGACAAUGCUUAUUAUUUUAAAUUUUAGAGAGCAUCUUGGAGUAUAAUUAAGAUAAAGAACAGCAUUUUUUAUUUUAUUUUUUAUUUUUUAAUUUUUUUUGUACCAGUCCAAUAACAAUGUAUAUUUCAUCAUUAUUUAUUUAUUUAUUUAUUUAUUUUGUGGAUAAACUAUUAUGGCUCAUUAUAAUUCCUCAUUUUUUUCACUUAAUUUCUCCCUUGUUUACAUAGUCAUUUUCCAUUAUUUCAAAAGAAGUAUAUGAUAAUAUGAAUGAGAACAUUGAACUUAUUUUAUAUAGUGUGUAUUUGGCUCUUCAUAUUUCCAAAAUAAGGAGAAUGAGGCUAUUAAAGAGCCUAGCAGAGAUCCUCUUAGUAUAAACAUGGCUUUGAAGCUAGCCUUUUGGCAAACUGUCUUUAAGGAAUUUAUGCAAAUUCUCUCUGGAAUUAAGAAUGGUUUCUUCCCAUUCUCUCACUUUAUUUCUCUUCUUUUACUUGGCCUUUUCUCUAAGUUUCACUUCUCUUGUGUUGACUCAAGCCUCUCCGUCAUUUAUUGUUAAUUAUAUAAUCAAAUGAUUGAAUUUGUCUUAAAAAAAUAUAUAUCUCUAUUAACAAAAAAGGAUCGUGAUUAUUAUACUAAAAUGAUAUCAACCAUCGAUUUUUCAGAACAUCCCAGUUUUUGCUUGCUUGCUAAACUCUCUUGUUCAUCUAAAUUCGAUGAUUUGGAGGCACAAACUUUGACAACCAUGGUGCAUUACCUUUUUCAAUCCAGUAAGGCAGAUAAAUUUCUUACUUCAGGCUCUCAAUUCUUAGAGAAGGAAAUAAGUUACAUCUUAGAUUUAGAAGAAAAUAAUCGAGCAUUUCUUCCUCAGGACAUAGCAUAAAAAAUUGCUAUCAAAGAAAAAACACGAGAAAAAUAUUUCCCUAAUCGUUUGAACUGUCAAAAAAAAUCAUUCGAAACAGUUCUUUCCUAUUGUAAUGCAGAGCUAUUAAGGGAGAAAUCAAAAAUUGCCCAAAAUCCCACGAAGAAAUGAUUAGUUUCUCAAAGUUUGCCUUAG